GGAGUUGAUGUAACAUAUUUUGUCAAAAUGUAAUCAAAUUUGAACUAAUGGAACCUAAUUGAUUAAAUGAAAAUAAAAAAAAUAAAAUCGUACAUAGUUCAGGUGCCCAGUCUUUUAAAAUUUGGAUUUUACUUUCCAAUCUUUCAAUUUUUUUGAUUUGUGUCAGUGAACAGUAAUUUGACUUAAUUUAAAUGCGUUAUUUAUUUUUACAGACUUAGUUAGUAUAAUUCAUGCAAUUAAUUCUCGCACCUGCAAAUUUAUUAAAAUAAACAAUUAUCUUGAAUUUCAAAGUCAAAAUAUAAUCAAAAAAUUAAGUAAUAAAAUUAAAAUUUUAAACAAAAAUAUUGCUGCAAUUAAUCCUAAGCCACCGUUUGGUUCGGGAUUAAAUAAAAAUUUAUUAUUUCAGGGAUAGAGUUAAGUUCUGGAUUAAGGUGGGGUUAGAGCAAUUUUGUGUUUGGUUGAAAAUUAGGUUUAAUCCAGAUAUAAAUAAAAUAGUGUUUGAUUUUAAUAUAUGGGAUAAGAAGGAUAGUCGGUAAAAUAGUGUUUUGUUUGAUUGGAGUAGUGGGAUGAGGUAGGGUUAGCUAACCCCGCCUCCCAAAUUGAAUGUUUUGAAAUAACUUCGGGAUCAAAGAAUUAUUCCACCCUUAAUUCCGAACCAAACUGGUGCUAAAGAAAAAAUUUAACUACAGAGGCAACUGCUCCAGUUGCGGCCGCCGCGGAGUUGACCGUUGACUCGACCGCGCACAGCCUCGCGCGCACGUGCUCAGAACCCCGGGGCGGUCUUUUGGUGGGCCACCCCUUGUCGGGCCAAUUAGACACGUUCCUCCGCACGUGCGUACGACCUCCUCUUUUCCUCCUCCGCCGAAGUGACGAGUUCCACCACGCCAACGCCUUUUCGUUGCGCGGAGGAGUUAAGAAACCAAGGAGAAGUAAAAAAGGAGCACCAAAAAAAAAAAAAAAGGUCUCUCUCUAUAUAGAAGUCGGAAAUGGAGUUUACAGCGCGGAGGAAGUCGAGUUCCGCAGCCGAAGUCGCGUCGGUGACCGUCACCGCGCGCGUGGGUGGUUUACAUGCGCCGUAAAAGCUCGGAAAACCGGGGGGUCGCAGCUUGGGCUGUCAACGAUCGAGGUCCCAUAAGUGGCCAGAUACGGUGCUGCUCGUUUUCGCUCGUUUAUUAAAUAAUAAAUAAAUAAAUCGAAUGCGAGCUAAUUUGUCGAAUUAUCAAAAUAAAAAAUUUCAGUUUUCGUAGACAGUAAGUUUGAUUGUCAGUUCUGCUGCUACUGAGUGAAAAGUUGAAAAUAAGUUCAAAAAUUAAAAUUUUAAUCUAAUAAUUAAAAUUUCAAAAUAUAGGUAUCUUUUUAUUUAAAUUGGUCUAAAAUUUAAAUAAUAUAUACAUAGAGAGAACUAAGCUAUUAUACUAUUAAUAGAACUAAGCGCUUUGUGCUAUUAGGUUUUCGACCCUUAGAUGAAGAGAUAUAUAUGCGGUUAGGAAGAUAGUGAUUCCCAAUUAGAAUGAUAGUAGUCUCCUAUGAUUGAGUGGGUGGUUGAUUGAAUAGUGUGAUCUAACGGAUAUAAAUGAUCAAAUGAGUAGAUCUAACAGCGAAAAAAUUAAUAGCAAUAAGUCAUUGGUGCUAUUAGGUUUAUUAUUAUACUAUUAAUAGCACCAAGUUAUUGGUGCUAUUAGGUUUUCGACCUUUAGAUGAAAGGAUGUGCAGUUAGGAUGAUAGUGGUUUCCCAAGGUUCAGUGAAUGAUUGGUUGAUCAUCUAACAAGUGAAAAUGGUCAGAGAGGUAAAUCUAAUGGCGAAAACUCGAUAGCACCAAGCGCUUGGUGCUAUUGAUUCUCUCUCUCUCUCUCUCUCUCUCUCUCUCUAUAUAUAUAUAUAUAUUAAGCUCUUAUGCAUUUAAAAGUACCAAGUUAUUCGUGCAUGUACAUUUUUGCCAUUUGGAUUAAGAAAUGUGUGGAUGAUAGUAGUUUUUUAGGGUUGAGUGAGUGAUUAGUUAAAUAGUAUGAUCUAACGGAUAAAAAUGGUCCAAGGGAUACAUCUAACAGCCGAUCGAUGAUGUAAAUAAUAUCGAUUACUAGGUAAAUGAUAUUAAAAAUACUUAUGAUCACUAGAUAAAUGAUGUUGAAAAUCUGCAAAAAUUAUUUUUCAAAUACUUCAAAUACGCUAGAUCAAGUCUAACGGAGCCAAUUGUCAAUUCGAAAGUCCCAUCAUUGAAAGCGGCUUUAUAUCAUCCAGAACACAUGAUAAUUCUCGUGCCUCCAGAGGCAUGAGAANUAUAUAUAUAUAUAUAUAUAUAUAUAUAUAUAUAUAUAUUUGUUCGAGCUAUAUCGAGCCGAAUUUGAGUGAACUGAUUCCUUACCCGUGUUCGGCUCGCUAAGAUUUCGAACUUAAGAAAUUAGCGCAUAGUCGACUUAUUUAUUAAACGAACGAUCGCCCUCAAACUCAUUUCCUGUCGACCAUGAAUUGACUCGCAAACAGCGAGUUGAAUUGCUAGCCCUACUUUGAGACGGCGUAAAUAGCGCAUUCGUCCCUGAACUUUUAGUCAAGUUUUUUAUGUGGUUCUCGAUAUUUUGAAAAAUAUUUUAUAAGAAAUUACUGCCUACAGUUGUUGACAUUCUCAGACGCGCUCCAUCCGUCUCAUACGUCUCAAUAGUUUGAAUUUUAAGCAUGAAAAAGGUUGCAACUCUGUGGAUAAUAGGAUUGCAACAUGAUACCCUAAAUUCUAGAGAGAAUAAAUGCGCGGUGUGUGUCACUGCAACUGCUUUAAUUUUUUGGCAUUUUAUUUUUCUGCAUCAGUAAAUAAAAGAUGAAAACUAAAGAAAAAUAUAUUCUUUCACCAGAUUAUAUUUGUAAAUUGUAUUUUGUUAUAAGUUCUAGCUAAAAUUUUCUACACUUUUAUAUAUAAUCAAGUCACUCAGUACAGUAUAGUUGACUUAAAAGUGGCGUAUACAUAACUGUAAUAUGGUAGUGUUAGAAUUGAUCAUGUAGCAUUGUGUGAACUGCAGGGCAUGUCACUGUCGCAUCAACUACACAUCAUCAUUAUUCAACAAGCUAAAUUGGAAUGCGAGACUAAAUUGCUUAUAACAUUCUUGAAAAUUGAGCCAAUAAUUAUAAUAAAUUAAAGUUUGAGAAUCAAAGUGUCUUAGCGUCUUUGUUUCAUAGCUUGUCGAUGAAAAUAGUAAUUCAACUCUAUAUAUUUAUAAGAGUUAUAGGAUAUCAAAGUUUGAGAACUGAAAGUGAAACUUAGACCGAAGUUUGGGGACGGGUAGUACAAUUUAUCCAUUUGAGAAAUGAGAAUAAACAACUGACCGUCUCUAGCGCGCAAGUGGCAAAGAACUUGGUGGUUGGUAUCCGAGGUCCCAAAUUCGAAUCCUAGUUGAUUCACAUUUCUAGCUAAGCUUAUUUCUAAAUGAAAUAAACGAAGCGGGUAGCAUGCUAUCUAUCUCUCAUUAAAAAAAAAAAGAAAAAAGAAAUGAGAAUAAACUUUUCAAACUUCAGGGAUGGAGAAAUUGGGAGCACUUGAGAUCCAGAGACUCAUAAGCUUGAAUCAAGUUUGAAUAUUUCCUACAGCCUCCAUCUUAUCUGAAUUUUUUUAAAGAUUAUAUAAUCAAGUCCCUUGAUAUUGACUUGGCCUUUUAUAAACUUACACAAAGCACUUUUGUUUGCAAUCACAUAUAUAUAUAUAUAUAUAUAUACUUGACAUUUUCCUGGGGAACAUUAAACUCUGGGCUGGUAUAACUAAACUCAAAUUGGUAUAUAUCCUUCCAAUUAGGAUACAUAAAUAUCUUUGACUCUGUCUAUUCCGUGCAACCGUCGUAAUUUAUUUAUUAGUAUAACUCUUGAUUGACCAGCUCAUGAAAUUUGCAUGAAAAGUCACCAACUGUUAGAUCGGUUAUUGAGUGUUUUGCAUUAGAAACGAUUGAGUUAUUACAGAAACUACUAUUGCCCCACGACUCAAACAUGCUGACCUACUUUCACUAAUAAGCGAAAAAUCUAACAUGAGAAAUGAAUGAGUCUAUUUAUGCGUUUUUAUUAAUAGAGAGCACUUGAUUGACCAGAUCGUGAAACCUGCAUAAGAAGUCUCCAUUUGCUAGCUAGGUCGGCUAUUAGAUAUCUUAGAUUAAAAUUCAUUAGAGAAAUGAAACUAAUAUACUAUAUAUUGCACUACAACUCAAAUAGAGUGACCUACUUUCACCAAAAAGCGAAAAAUCUAACAUAAGAAAUGUAUGAUUCUAUUUGUGCCUUAACAUCUUAAGCUUAUUUUUAGACCAAGCUUGUAAUUCCUAAUAUUAUAUUUGGUUAGGACGGAAUUCAACUUCAACAUUAGAAGAAAAACAAGCAACAUGACCAAUGAGGAGAAGGAAAUCUAAGUUGAAUACAUGUAGCACAAGUACAAGUUUGAUCCUACCUCUAUUUUUAAAACUCCCAAGUUCAUUGAAUGGAUAGGGGGGGAGGUUGGUUAGCAUUUCCAUAUGUUUUCCACUUUAAACUAGUAUGCAAUUUUAGAAUAAUUUUUACCUGAGUAGGUAAACUAGUGAUCAAAACAGUAUCAUCUAACUGUAGAUCUCUUAAAUUAUAUGGAAGCACAUACGGACUUGAAAUUUUUUAAUAGAGCCAUAACGUGAACUUGAAUUAAAAGGGCGAAAAUCGAUAACGCUAUAAGCCUGACGUGAAACCUCCUACUUUGAUAUUAUAUUAAAUUAUAUAAAAUAACCGUCAUUCUCCAAAAAAAUUAAGUUAUCAGUAUUUUUAAUACUUAUAUCUAUAUUUAGAGUUAAUUUUAAAUCUUUUGUUUUGUGAGGUCGUAAGUGAGUUUAAUCCCCAUCUUUGACAUUUAACGGGUCCCAACCUUCUGGACUCAUUUUUUAUUAAAUCGAUUUUUUUGGUAACAAAAUCAAACUUAUAUAUUUCUGGAUCUGUUUAAUUUCUACUAAAUCGAUUCUUUGGAUAACGAGAUCAAACAAAUGACAAUAAAUUCCUCUUAAACAGUAACUGUGAAAAUCUGAAGGUAUUCUGAAAACCUUAUUAUAUAUCCUGCAGUAAAUAGCCACUAAUUUCAUUCAAAGUACCCAAAAGCAAUCUCGAAUCAAAGAGAUGUGAGCAAUGAUUUUAGAAUCUAAAAUGAUUCUUGGAGUUUAUACUGAAUAUAGAUAAAGAACUAAUUAAGUACAGGAUAAAGAACUUAAGUAUAGGAUCUUCUCUAACACUAAAGUCCCUGUAUAUCAUAGUCAAUAUUAAUUGCAGCAUAUAUAUAUAUAUCAGGGUUUGAGUCCCCAUUAUCAGGCCAGUAAUGUUGUACCUGCAGUAAACCAAAACUAAUUGCUAAGAAACCGAAUAAACUCUAAUGGUAUGGUUUUGAUCUCGAAUUAAAACCACACAUGUUAUGCUAAUCCAUUUGCUCAAAUUCAUGUUUUUCCACAUUAAUUAUACCCAUUUGAUACAUGUAAUUAAUAGAGCAUUAAAUUCUAAUGAAUUCUUCUUAUGAGAACACCGAACACUUCACCAGUUUUGCUUCUUUGUGACAUCUUCAAUAGCUCCACUAGAAAAACCUUUUUUUUUUUUAAUAGCUUAAAUCAUAUCCAAUGAAAUGUUUAUAAUUCAAAAGGGGCUCUCCCUACUAUCUCAAACUCAGCAAUUAAGAAAUCAAACACAUUAUUUCCUCCUCAGGAAACCAAAUUUUAUAUCUUUGGUGCUAACAUAACAUAUAUACAUACAAUUAAUUUAGCCAUCUCUUCAUCACAUUGGAAGAGCAUAGCCAACCCAAAACAAAUGAUGGGAAUCGGAAAAAAGGAAAAUUAAUAGAAAGAAAAUGGAAAAAAAAAAGAAGCACAAGCUCCUCUAAAUAUUCCUAGUUAAGGAGGAGGAGGGGACAGCUGAAGAAUCCUCCCCGAAAUCGCCGUCGCGAGCGCGGCCUUAAACCCGGGAUCCUUCGUCAACGACAGCGCCAUUUGCUCGACCAAGCUCUUAUUGAUCUCCUGCAUCUCCUUCUCCUUCCUCGGCUCCGGUCGGACGAGAUCGAGCGCAGCGUUAUUCGAGCCAUUCGAGCCGACGACUGCACCGCUGUGGCCGCGAACCGAGCCGUUGCUGUGCCCUUCGUGCGGCGGAGCGGGGCGGCCGUGGUUGUGCUCGCCUUCGUACGUCGCGACUAAGAUCGACGUGUCCUCCGCGCUUCUUUGCACCUGAUUAUAUUGCACAGAUGAGCGUUCGGUUAGAUGCAAUCAUUAUAUUUCCUUGUUCCUUCAAGCACAACAUAAAAGACAAUCAGUUUCGAUAUCCAUUUAUCCUUACUUUCUUCUUAACUUGGCAAGACGGGGCGAACGAGCAUCUAAAAUAAGCUCUUGGGCACGGAUUAUCUCUCGUCACCUUUUGCCCGUAUUUUCUCCACUGGUACCCAUCUUUCACGACCUAAAUACAAUAACAGCAUUAGUGACUGAGCUUGUAGAUCAUGCAAAACUUUCAGAUAGGCGGAAAAAUUGGAAAAAAAAAAAAAAAUACAAAGUAAGGAAUUGAAACUCACAAGGCUUAAAUCCGAAGGAUCGGUGCGGACGUAGACCUUCGCGAUCUUCGGCUUGCACUCCUCCCUUAUUCGCUUGCACGAGUCUUCGCUGGAGGUGCACUCCAUUUGAUUCGCGACGUAGUUCAUCGUCGUCGUCGUCGCGGGGGGGUUUGUCGCGGCCUCGACCUUCCUCUUCCUCGACGGCGAGACCGACCCUCCGUCGGAGGAGGAGGUGGCCAUCAAAUCAUGCAGCUGGCUCUGCAGCGUCGCGUACUUCGCGACCACGGUCGCGAGCAUUUCGUUGAGCCUCUUGUUCUCUUCGCUCACCCGAUUCAGCUCCGCCUCGAGAGCUCCGAUCUAAUAUAUACAUAUCAGAUAAUUAGAACAACAUAUCUAACUAAUUAAGCAUGCUCGCGAAGAAGAAAGGAGCUUAAUUAAUUACAUAUUUACAUGUACCUCUUCAUCUUUCAUCACCAAGAACUUGUCCUCCACCACAUGCUUGGGAUUAUUUGAGAGCACCCCUUUCUGAUGACAUCAAUAACAAACAAAAAAGGAAAAAAUUAAUCAAUCAAUCCAUCAAUAAAAUUGAUUCUCCUCUUCUUUAACUACUCGGUUGCUCAAAAUGGAUCAUGAGCAUGGAUUUCUCGAACUCACCGAGAAGCCGACGUUGAGAUCGAGAUCGAGCGACGAAUGGUUAAUCCAUGCCGAACCCAUAACCAGCGGGGGCGAAUUCAAAUUAAGUUGGAUAUCUAUUAAUUUGAAAAGAAGGAGAAGGAGAAGGAGAAGAAGAAGAAGAAGAAGAGAAGAGUUUGAGAGAAGGAGAGAGUAUAUUGGGGGUGUAUAUAUAGAGCCCAAUUGAGAGAAGNAAGGGGGGAAAGGGUAAGAGAUGGAAAACUGUGACACAUGCAUCAUCCUGGAAACGUCAGGAAAUCACUGUCACAAGCAAAAGAAAAAGAAAAGAAAAGAAAAUAAAAUAAAGUGGUUUUUUUAAGAAGCGAAAAAAAAAAGGGGGGGAGGGGGGAUAGGUAUGGGGAUGGUGCCAUGUCGGUCACCACACGGAAGUCGUAGUAUUGGAGAGUUCGAGUCAAGAUAAAACACUGCACCCAAAAAAAGAAAAAAGAAACAAAAAAAAAAAGAAAAAAAAAAGAAGAAAGAAAAGAGAGAGAGAGAAUAGAAGAAAGAUCGAUGAUGCCAAGGAGGAAAAAGACAGGCUGGAGGUGGGGGCCGGGGGGAGGACUAUGGAGGAAGGAGGGAAGACUUCUUGACUUUGUUCUCUUUUGGGAUUUCUGGAAAACUAAAGUAUAUUCCUCCUCCUGCUGGCUUGUUUUUCUGUCCUUCGGUGCCGCCCAAUAAUUUUAUUAUUAUUAUUAUUAUUAUUAAAUAAGUUAAAUCUUAAAAAAAUAAUUAAAUUUAAUAAAAUUUUAAAGUGCUACAAGUGAAAUCAGCUUUGCUAGCCUACUCGUUCCAUCGAAGGUCAAGUUGAGAUUGAAAUUAAAUACUAUAUAUUAAGAAAACUUUAAAUACUAUUUCUAUAGUUUCGCACUUUUCUAUUUAAGUACCUAAUAGUUUAAAAUGUAUCAAUUUAGUAUCUCAUGAUUUUAUUUUAUUUUUUUUAUUAUCCGCUUUACUAAUUAUUUUUUCGUUAAAUCAAUGACAAAGAUAAAACUGAAAGUAUAAAAGUGAAUAUUCGAUAAAUCUACGUGGGUAUCUGAAGUUUUUUUAAAAAAUUGAAACUAUUUGGUUGCUUUCACAUGCUCUCUUAUUCCAACGCUACAAACUGGUGAUGAAAAAUACCACUGAAAACAUAUUGGAUCAAAAAGGAUCGAAAUAUACAGAUUUGGCAAGGUCAGGUAUAUAUACUCAAAACUUACUUAUUCUUUUAUUAAGGAUCAUAUGUGAAAACUUGCUUUUAAUACGGUAGAAAAAUAACCGAUCAUCCCUAGCGCAAGUAAUAAAGGAUUUGAUGAUUGGUACCCGAUAUUUCAAGUUUGAAAUUCAGUUACUUAACAUUUCCAGAUAAGUUUAUUUUUUAAAAAAAUAAACGAAACAGAUAAUUAACGUGUUAUUUUUCCCUCAAAAAAAAAAAGUUACAGAUCUUUAAUAUAUGACAAUUAUGUUUUUUUUUUUUUUUGAAAAAUAGGUAGUAAGCUACCUGCUUCAUUCAUUAAGUAACAUAAAUUUAGCAUACAAAUUGGAAGCAGCUAGGGCCUCUGAACUGAGGAAACGAGAGAAAAACAAGAGAACAAAAAUCAGAUCCGUGCGACUCAGGAAACAAGUGAAAUCCAAACUAAACAAAAAUAGAAAAACAAAGGGCAAAGCGCAGAGCUCGGGAGAGAAUCAAAGUGCUUCGUUCCAGGAGUGAGCAACACAAUACAAUAAGUUUGGAAUAUUUGCAAUUGGAGCUGUCAAACUUGCCCCUCACUCAAAGCAUUGAUUGGUUCCAAAAAAAAAAAAACAAUUGAAAAAAUAAAAAAUAAAAAAGUGGUGGGGCUCCAAAACACACAGCAAACACGUUUAGAUCUAAAACAACUAAAAUAAGAAAAAUUUAAUAUUACAAAUGAGUAGGCGUUACGUGUUGACCAAGUGCUAAUUUAAAUAUAGGGUUGUUUAAUAAGUUUUUAAUUUUAAUAAUAUUACUAAACAAGAAUUCCGUUCUUACCCAAUUUUAUCUAUUUUACGGAGUUGCAAAGUGGAUAAAUAUUGAGAUGCGCGUACAAUGUGACGUACCAGCUCAUUUAUCUCAAAUUUUUUAAUCUAUUUGUAACAAUGGUAAAUUGCAGUGGAUAAAUUGGUUCAAUUUUUAAUGUAAAAGGUUAAGUAAAACAUGCCCAUAGUGUAAGAGGGACUUCAUAAAUCUCAACUACUAAAGAAUAUUAAUAAAAUUUCUAACAACAAUUUCAUAGCUUUUUUUCUAAUUUAUUUCUUUACAACUUUGAGAGGAUAAACACGAUAAGAUUGUUGGAGUCAAAUCUUUUACGACUUAGUGAGCAGACAAUUCCUGUAUAUUGCUGGCGCGAUCAUUUUUUUUAAAAAAUACUUCAUCUUUUACCUAAUCGAAAGUUAACUUUUUUGACUUUUUUGGGAGAAGGUAUAAUUAACUUUUUCAAGAAGUUGCCCCAAAACCUAAUUAAGAAAGAACUUUUGUGCAAUGGAAAUGUUUAGUGCGUUCACAACGUGGCAAAUUAGACCUAUGGGACCAGCUAUGAGCCUAUGACCUUAAAGUCACAGUGAAUGCAUUUCAAAUCAACAAUUUAAGUCUCUCUCUCUCUCUCUCUCUCUCUCUCUCUCUAGAUAAUGCAAGAGCUACAGCAUUAUAAUUUAUUUACUAAAUAAACGAUGUUUAAAAAAAUUAAAAUUUUAUUUCUAAAAACUUCAUAUACCCUAAAUCAUAUUUAACGGUAUAUAUAUAGAAUUAGGCUACUAUACUAUCUAUAGUAUCGGAGCUCCGGUAUUAUAGUCUUAUUUUCGAUUUUAGGGUGUUCAAAUUAACGAUCCACACUGUUAAAUAUGAUUUAGGGUAUAUGAAGUUCUUAGAAAUUUUAGUUUUUUUCGACAUCGUUUACUUAGUAAAUAAAAAUUGUCAAAAUGGACGGUAGAAAUUGAAUAAUCUUUAAAAUUUGAGUAUAGGACUUUUAAAUUCAAGAUCAAGAAUGUUAAUCUUAAUCUAAAUAGUUUAAAGUAUUUUCUAUCAAAAUUUGAAGAAAUUUAAAUUCUUCUACACCGUUAAACUUCAAACUCGUCAUAGUAGCCAUUGAAAAUUGAUAAUUUUGAAAUGAUUUGAUCAUAAAGCUAAUUAUGUCGAAAAAAUAUAAAAUUUUAUUUUUAAAAAUUUUAAAUACUCUAGAUCAGUUUUAACGGUGUGGAUCGCUGAUUUGAAUACCCUAAAAUAAAAAACGAGACUAUAGUAUCGGAACCCCGGUACUAUAGAUAGUAUAGGAGACUAGCUCUCUCUCUCUCUCUCUCUCUAUAUAUAUAUAUAUAUAACAAAAUAAUCCGUGACAUAUAUGAUUCGUACAUAUAUGAUUCGUAUCAUCCAAACGAUGGAUACCAAACUUUUUAUCCAAUUAAUAUUCCUCAUUGCCUAAGGUAACGUACUAUAUUGUGGAAAUUUGAUGUAUGGGAAUUUCUAUGACAACAAAAAAUUUCUCUUUAGUCUUAUAGCAAGUUAAUUAAAAGGUAAAAGUAAAUAGAUACUUAAAUUUUUAAUUUUAGCAAUCAAUUCUAAAUUUCAUCUAAGUAGUUCAAUAAGCUCUCUUCUAAAAUAAAUUUACUAAUUAUAUAGCCAUUUUGAUUGAUGUUGUAAAUAUAAUUCUAUUUAAGAUUUCAAAAAAUAUAUAUUUUUUCCUUCUAUGUUUGAUAGUUAAUAUUCAUGACAGUGCAAAAAUAGGUUACAACAAACUUCAAGUUAUAUUUCUUUUUUUUUUUUACAUGUUUGAAUACAAAAAAAAAUUUUGUUGUGUUUUAAAGCUAUUUUAUGCAAUACAUACAACUAAAAUAAUUAUGUGAUUAAUAAUUUUAAUUAAAGAAAAAAAUUUAUUGAACUAUUUAAUAAAAUCUCAACAGCUAACUACCAAAAUUAAAAAUUUAAAUGACUGUUUACAGAAAAGCUAAAGUUCAUGAGGCCUUUAUACAUUUUUUUUUCCUUAAUUAAAAGCGAUAGUUAUUUUCAAUUCAAAUCAAUAAUUAAAUCAUGAAAUUGAUCCUAAAAUAUAUAUAUAUAUAUAUAUAUAUAUAAAUAUAUAGAUAUACAUAAUAGAGAUGGUCCCAAUGCAUGGGAUUGUUUUAUUCACCGUUGAGACAAAUUUGAAAUUCGUGUUGUGCGAGCGAUGGAUACCAAUAUUUUUUUGAUCAUUAAUUAUUGCCUAAAUGAAAAGUACUUCAUUGCGAAAAUUUGUACAUAUAGUAUUGAAAAAAGUGUAGAUCGAACUCGCUAAUCAAAUUUUGUGCGUUUUUGUGUAUCCCGUGUGUUUUUUACACAUAAACGUCGUACCCACUAGGAUAUUUUGUUCAUUUUUGUGCAAAUUAUAGAAUAUUUUGUUCAUUUUUGUACAAAUUAGGUGCCUCAGUGAGUGUACAAAAGCUCAGGGGCAGUGUUUGAAUUGGAAAUGAUAAAUUGUACCUUUGCUCCUCAAACUACAAGACGCAAUAUUUUGGUCAUUAAAUUUUAAUUUAUUAUAACUUUUAUCUUAUAUUUUCAUUCUAUAAUAUAAUUUAAUUUAGUUCACUAUAUAUUGAUAUAUCGUCCCUAAGAAAAUAUUCUAAAUUUGUGAUUGGUAAUGCAUCAAAAAUUAAAAUGGCAUAACACUUCUACAUCAGCAAUGUAUCAGUAUUUAGUCAACUAAACUGGAUUGUAAAACUUGAUUGUAAUAAUUCUGAAAGUUUAUAACAAAAAUUAAAAUAAGUUAAAAUUUAUUGUGCAAAAUAUCGCCCUAGUCUCAAAGUUUGAGACUAUAUUUGUACUCAAUUUACCUAAUUGGAAACAAAAACAAAGGGCUUAGUUCAACAAAUGGCCUAGCUGAAUUAAGUUAUCGUACGACGAAUCUAAAAUUUUCUUCAUCUCCUUACUGCUACGAAAGAUCGCUGUAAACCACGCUAUACAUGCAUUUUUCACUAGUGUGAAAGGUGCCAAUUAACUAUUCUAUACAGCGGUGCUAAUUCAGUGCAUUUUUUUGUCAUUCAAAUUAUUUAAUGAAAAAGUUAUAGCCAUUGCUCGGAUGCUCAAAGGAUUAAUUGUCUUAUUUUUGCUUAAAUUAACUAAAAUCAAUGAAAUCAACUAAUAAGUGGUAAUGAUAUGUACAAUGUGAUACAUUACUUAGGGUCAAAAUAGGCUGUUUAUAUCAUUUUAUAUUAUAUAAAAGAUAUAAAGGAUGUAACUCUCAUUAGGGUUUUCAAUUUAAGCAAUAACAUGUCUACCCAUCUUAAUAUACCUCUUCACUUAGUUUUUUUAGCAAAACAAUUAAUCCAUUGCAUAACCACGAGCCCAUUGUUUUUUCCUAAUUUAAGUAGCUAUUUUUUAGUGGCUUGUUGCUUGAUCUAUAAUAAGUUCUAUAUAAUAAUCAUGUGAACCAUGUGGGAAACAUGGCUUCUUAAAUUCAUCAUAUUUUAGUUAGAGUUGUUAUGAUUCAUCGUUAUCGGAUAAAGUAUUAUGCUUGUGUCUAUCUUCUAUAGUACUAUAUUAAAGGAAAGUUAGGUCACAUCAGGGAACAAACAAACGAACGACACGUAUCCCUCCAUCUCUCCCUACUCUACUUCAACAAAAUUGCAUGCACACCGACCGUCCCUAAAGCAAGUGGCAAAGGAAUGGAUGGCUGGUACCAUAGUUAGUUAAUUCGGAUUCGACAAAAAUUCGGUAUGGGUAUAAUAUGCAUAAAAUUCGUUUUCUAAUUUUUAAAUUCGUUGAAAAAUUCGGCUUAAAACAUAGAUUCGGUAUAAAAUAUAAAAUAUAAGAUAUAAAAUAUAAGAUAAUCUAUAUUUAAAUAUAAAAAUUAUAUGUUUUUAUUCAUAUUUUCAAUAAUUCGGAAAUAAUUCGCGAGUAAUUCGCGAAUUGUUCGGCUGGCCAAAAAAUUCGCGAAUAUUUCUCUAUCUUUGGAAAAAAUUCGUAAACGGACCGUUUAAUUCGGAUUUUUAAUAAUUCGCGAAUAAUUCGCGGAUUAACUAACAUAGGUUGGUACCCGAGACCCAAAUUCGAAUUCUAGUUGAUUCACAUUUCCAGCUAAGUUUAUUUCUAAAUGAAAUAAACGAAACAGUAGCGCACUAUUUAUCUCUCUAAAAAAAAAAAAAAAUUACAUGCGCACCGGAUCUAUUAAAAUAUCAAAUGCACCAAAUCUUUUUUAUACACCUGAAAUAGUAUUCUCCCCUUUAUUGUGGGUAAAGAUAUACAUAUAUCCCGCAACUAUAAUUUUUUUCAAGUGAGAUCCACUCAAAUUAUAAUUACUUUUUUAAUUUUAAUUUUUAUACUUAGUUCAAUUAAAUUACCAAAGAUAAUUAAAAUUAUUGAAUAGGAUGAAAUUACUAAUGAAUUAAUUAAAGUGACCAUUGAUGAUUGAAAUUAUUAAAUUUGACAAAAUUACUAAUUAAUUUGAUAAAAUUACUGAAACACAAAAACUAAAAGUUUAGAAAAUCUCUAUACAUUUUCACUAAAAAGAAAAUUGACAAAAAAUUUGNAAUGGACCCCUGAAAUUUAUUUAUUUUUAAUUAGGUUUUUGUAAUUUUUGAAUUUCUAUGAAUUAAUUUUAAUUAACUAAACAAAAUGAGUCUCUAAGAAGUUGUAACUUAGUCUCAAAUAAUUUAAAUAGGAUGGAUAACUUAGUCUCAAACUGUAUAAUUUAUUCCUUUUUUUUUUCCCUACUAUUUGACUUUUACUGCAACGACGGCCACAACGCAUUAUGGUCUUCUCAUGAAAAGAAAAUUAUAUAUAUAUAUAUAUAUAUAUAUAUAUAUAUAUAUAUAUAUUGUGAAGCAUCCUUUUCUGCUAUCAUGCCCCUGCUUCGCCUCUGUCGCUGGCACCGCCCUCGCCCUAACGCGCUCUCCCUCUCUAUCAUUCCCAAAUGUUGCGGCAUACUCGUCACCGUAACCGUCACCAGCAUUGGUGAAGGUAUUAACAAGGUAGGAGAAAGUUGUGCAGCACCGUCGUGGGGCCGGUAGAGAAGGAGGGAGAGGAAACAGAGAAAAAAAGAAAAAGGGAGGAAGAAAAGACGAGGAUGAGGGAGAAAAACAAAUAAGAAUAAAAAAAAAUUAGAAAAAGAAUUAAAGAUAUUUUAAUCAGUAUACUAAAAAUUCAAAUCUACUUUGUAAAGUAUAAAAAAUAAUUUAUUUUUACAAAAAAUCUAAAAUUAGUGAAUUUUGCUAAUUUCCACUCCCUCAGUACUUAAUCCUACUUUAUUUUUUGAAAACCUUCAAAUACCACCUCCGUGGUUUUGCCUCUUUUUAUUUUAGUACCAUAUAGUUUAAAUGUAUCAGUUGAGUACUCCGUAGUUUUAUUUUUCUCUUUUUAUUAUUACAUUCACUAAUUUUUUUCGUUAAAUCAGCAACAAAGUUAAAACUAAAAGGUGCUAAAGUAAUAUUCGAUAAACAUAGAUAGGGUAUCUGAAGUUUUUGCUAUAUAAUUUAACGAAAUGUUAAUGGAGGAGUUGGCUAAAAGGAAAAAAUAAAACGACAGAAUAAUAAAUUAAUACAUUUUAAAUUAUAAAGUACUACAAUAGAAAACUACAAAACUACAGGGGCGUAUUUGAAAUUUACCCUUUAUUUUUCGUGUAAUUUACUCUUGGUAGCAAGCACGUGACACACACGGCGAAUUGCCAUCAAAUGGGGACGCGCCACGUGGCCAGCAAAAGGCGGCGCGUGGAGGUCACCGUCCGUUGAAAUCGCGACGUUCUCCGUUGACCCGUGCUAUAAUGAGGACACAGGAAAGUAGUGAUAGUGACAAAUACGGUGUGGCCACGUGUCAAACACGGCGUUCUUUAAUUCAAGGACUAAACGGUCAACUUUCUCCCACGUGGGAAGAAACGGAUAAUUCGACCUCAUUACUAACCUAAUCCUCGCUAAUUAAAAUCCAACCUAAUCCUAUUAAUUAGCUUUAGAGCUAGUUUAGCUUAAUUUGGUUGUGGAUAUAUAUAUAUAUAUAUAUAUAUAUAUAUAUAUAUAUAUAUUUGGUAAAAUUCAAAUACUAUCGCUGUGAUUUCACACUUUCUCACUUUAGUACCUUGUGUUUUAAAGUGUAUUAAGUUUGUAUCCUAUGGUUUCAUUAUUAUCUUUUCGUCAGCUUCUCCGUUAAUAUUUCGUUAAAUUACAUACUAAAAUUUCAGAUACCCACCUAAGUUUAUCGAAUAUGUACUUUAGCGCCCUUUAGUUUUUAAUUUUGUCACUGAUUUAAUAAAAAAAUUAAUAAAAUCGAUAAUAAAAAGAUAAAAAUAAAACCACGAGGCACUAAAUUAAUAUACUUUAAACCACAGGAUAUUAAAGUAAGAAAAUAUGAAACCACAAGGGUGGUACUUGAAGUUUUUUUUUUUUUAUAAUUAAAGCCUAUUUUGGCUCUCAACUUCUGCUUCUAUUUUUAGCAGCAACAAUUUCUACGAAAGUGUUUGUUAAGGGCAAAAAAAAAAGAAAUUUUUUGUCAUUUUAGGUACAACAAAAAGGUGAUCAUACGAAACUUACAUGUUGAGUUUUAGAAACAGUAGCUCUAACAUAUUAUUAUUUCUCAUUCUAUUAGCUAGGAAAAAAUAAAACUAUUUGAAAAAUUAGUAAUUAAAAACAUAUAUGCAGUAAUUCCAACUCACAAGCAAAAUUAUUACGCCAUAAACUCUGAUCAUAAAAUAAUAUCGAUCAUAACGUAUAAACUAUGAAGCGCACAUCAGGUAUUUCUCAACUAAACAGUAAACAAAUUUUCGAAUGUGAUAGUCAAAUAUUCUUUAUUGAAUAUAUUAUUGUUGAAAACAGAAGCGGAACCGAAGAAUCAAAGAAGCGACUGAGGUUGAUUUGUUGAGAACACACUAAAUUCCAAACGCGAGUGAUCCAUGCGUGAGGAGGCAUAUUAGAAAAUCGAGGAACACGACGAGAUACUGAAAGUGGGUGGUUCAUUUAUUCUCUUGUGCCGAUUUAGUUGAAAAGUCUGCUAAAAUCUUUACUUUCUUUCUCUUUCUACUUUUCGGCGGCUCCGGGUAGUUGGAAUUAUACUUCUCCACCUUCUUCUUUUUCUCUUUUUAAUUUGUCACAAUACACCGACCGCCCGUGGCUAAAGCAAGUGGUAAAAAAUUUGAUGGUUGGUAGUUGGUUCAGUGGGUAGUUGGUUGAAUUGUAUGAUCUAAAAGGUGAAGAUGAUCAAAGACGUAUAUAAAAAAUUACAAGCACAAAAUACUUGGUGCUUUUACAAGCACCAUAGCCGGACUCUCUCUCUCUCUCUCUCUCUAUAUAUAUAUAUAACCGGACUCUCUCUCUCUCACUCUCUCUCUCUCUCUAUAUAUAUAUAUAGAGAGAGAGGCUAGUAUACUAUCGGUAAUACGGAGGCCUUCGUACUACCAAAUUAUUUUCAAUAAUGCGGCUUUCAAAUCGACGAUCGGUUCUGUUAAACUUGAUAUACACUAUUAAAAGUAUUUGGAAACUAAAUUUUAUAAUUUUUCGACAUUAUUUGGCUAAUGAUCAAAAGGUCUCAAAAUUGACAAUUUUAAUGGUUGAUGUGAUGCGUUUGUGAUUUAACGUUGUAAAACAAUUCAAAUCUUAUGAAAUUUUUAUAAAAACUUCUUUUCACUAUUUAGAGUAAGAUCAGUACAUUUGAUUUUAAAUUUAAAUUUAUUAUCAUUAUUUUUUAUGAGAUUUUUAUUUUCAGCUGUUCAUUUUUAAACUAUUCAUUUUAUAGGUAAAUAAAUAAUGUCGAAAAAUUAUGAAAUUUAGUUUUCAAAUAAUUUCAAUAGUGUAGAUCAAGUCUAACGGAGCUGAUCGUCUGCUCUCUCUCUCUCUCUCUCUCUCUCUCUCUCUCUCUCUCUCUCUCUCUAUAUAUAUAUAUAUAUAUAAAUCUAUACUAUAUAUAAAAGUGUAUAGAAAUGAUAGUCGGAAUUAAAAAAGAAUAAAAAAUAUUUCCUAUGAACUGUUAUGAUCAAUUUAUUAAAAAAUAUCUUAAAUAAGAACGAAUGGUUAUGAUCAAUUCAUUAAAAAAAAACAUUCAUAACCAUCUAUAACUUCAAUUCUACGAACAGGCAUAAUUAUUUUGUUAAAAAUAUUUAAAAUAUAAAUGAACGUUUAUGAUCAAUAUGUUAAAAAAUAGCAUUUCUAUUCAUCUAUUUUAUAUUAAAAUUUAAAUUUGAGUUUAAAACACGAAUUAAAUUUAUUUUUUGAUAUCAAAUUUGAAUUAACAAUUAAAAUUUUUUAAUUAUAUAAUAGAUCAAAAUUAAAGUUUACAUUUUGAAAUAAAUGUCAAUUUAAUUUUGAUGCUUUUAGUUUAAAACACAUAUUUAUAUUUUAGAUUUAUUAGAAAUCGAAAAAUAUAUAAAAUUUUUUAAUAUAUAUAUAUAAAAAGAAUAAUAUAGAAUAUUACAAAUAUUUUCUAGUAAAAUAUAAUACAUAAAUUUAUAAAUUAUAAUUUUUACUGUGAAUUUUUAAAUAAAUAUAAUGUACAAAUUCAUAUUGAUUUAAAGUAAAUUGAAAUAAUCGUUACGUGCAGUUACACGUACACUAAACUAAACUAGUAUAUAUAUACAUACAUGUACAUAUUAAUGUAGAGUCACAUCACACUAACGAAUUAGUUCCUUGAAAAGGUGUUGAUAAAAAGUAUUUAAUUUCACAAUUUUUAAUAUUCAGAUAAAAAUUAAAAUAAUAGAAAUAUUAUUUCUUUUAUAAAUUUUCUUAGAAAAGAUUAAAACAUAUUUCUACCGAAAUUAAAGAGAUGAAAAAUAUAUAUAUUCUGGUCACGAAACUAUUUUUUAAUGAUAAAAGCAUAUAAAACUUACCCAAACUUAAUUGAGACCAUUUUGAGUUGUCAACAGCAUUUUGACCGCAAAAUUUAUAUGUGUCAUUUAGUAUUACAGGGUUAGCUGAUAUACUUUAUAUAAUUCUCACAACUAUAUAUUUAAUAAAGUAAGUGAUUAUCUUACUUUAUUUAAAAAAGUAAGUAAUUUUCAAAGGGGCAAUUGCUUAUAUUUUUCUGAAAUGUUUCUGACUUUCUUAUUUACCAUUCUUAGAACGGUAAUAGUAUGUCCCUAGAGUUAAAUUAUAUUAGUGAAUUAGUAGGAAUAUACCCUUCCACCGUUACCAGCUUUUCUUAUUUGCCUUUAAUCUAUGGGCAAAAUUGGUAUUCUUACUUUUAUUUUAACUAUGAUAGAAAUUUAAUUCAGAUUUAAUCCGAAAUUAUUUGAUGGACACUAACAGUAAAUAUAUUUUUGAAUAACGGAGAAAUAUGUGAAGAGUAUAUUUGAAAUAAAAAAUAAUAAUAAUAAAUAAGAUAUUUCAGAAGUUUUGAGAAAUAUAUACAUAACUUUUUUUUUUUUUUUUUAAUCAGACAUAAAAUGUGCUUGAAUGAAUCCAUGACCCAUGAUGAGCGCAGGUUCAAUGUUAGAAAAGCCCAAAUAAAGAAGGGCCACAUGCAUGUUGGGUACAUGCAUGAAUGCACAUACAGGACAUGACACAUUGUCGUGUAGUUUGCAGUUAAAGUGGAAUUCCCAUCCCGAAACACACGGAAAUCCCAUGUCUAAUAAAAGAAGAGACAAAUUGUGCAUGCACUUUGUUAAUUGCAUCAAUUUUCGUGGUCCCGUUCCGAAUAUAAAUUAAAAUUUCGACAUGAAUAUAACGUGACAGGUCAUUUUAUCUAACAAUUUAAGCUUUUAGUUAUUACAUCGUAUUAAGGUUCGGUUCACACUUCUGUCCUAGUUCAAUGCCUUUGAUCGAGUCCGUCCUGUGUCCGUCUUGUCCAAUUAUCACUAAAAAUCAUUCAGUUCUUACUCUUUUGCUCAUUUCUUUUCUAUCGGUCAAAAAGAAGCUACGACAAUUUGAAGUUUAUAAUUAUGCUUCUUAUUUUCAGAUAGUGUUAUUAGAAUAGAUAAAACUCUAGCGGGGAGUGUUGAAAUUUUAUUAGAAAUUAAGAUCGUACAUUCUGUCAUAAUUGUGAUUUCUAUACCUGAUUUGUAGGCGCGAAUAUUUACUCGUGGUUCGUUCUCGUUCGUGAUCUAUAAGAAAACGAAACAUUUCGAGUCUAAUUCUCUUAUCUCCGAAAAUGGAGCCGUCACGAAAAGUUGGAUUAGGGUUAGACCGUAACUCCCAUAUGUUACAUAUUUGUAUAUAACUUAAUAUAAGAACGUUAAAUCAUCUCCGUCCAUCAAGGAUAUGUCUAGAUACAUCCUAACCGAUAGACCUAUUAUAUCUUUAUAGAUUGACUUGAAUAAACCGACUUUAUUUUUAUAGAUCGCUUUGAAUAAAUCACGUGAGCCACAUCCAAUAGGGAGUUCGUCGAGGAGCUAUUCAUCACGUGUUAGUUUUAUUAUCAUCUAAAAUUUUUUUUAGACAUUUUUAACAAUAAAAUCUAAAACAAAAUUAUAAUUCAAGAAAGAAGAAUUAUAAUCUUUAAACAGAGAAAAAACUGAAUAUAUGACAGUGGAUCAGGGCUCCUCAAUGAGUCGUCGUCAGGGAGCUCCCUACUAAAAGUUUUAUUUUAUUAAAAUUAUGUUGUUUUUGAGUGAUUUCACGCUGUAAUAUGUAAGAUAUAUUUACCAUCACACUCUUCCACAGUAUGAAACAUUUUUUUUUCAUAAUUUUAAUCAGAGCUUUAAUUUAGAUGUUUCAACUUAAAGUUUAAAUUUUUGGAUUGGGCACGAAUCCUUUAACACCUACAAUAUUAGAGGUUUUAAAUCAGCAUUUCAUUCAUCAAAUACAUUUUCAAUAAUAUUAAAAAAAAUAAACUAUAUAUCAACAAAAUUCAUAAAUUUGAAAUAUAAAGUACAGAAUAAUUGCUCCCCGUGAUUUAUGUACCUAAUUAAUGUCUGCGCAGUAAUAUUUCAGAACUCAUGAUUUUUAAUAUACAUAUAUCAUUCGAAUAUUGUAGAUCAUACUAAUCUUCUUUAGUUUUAAUUUUAUUGGACGAAUAAUUAAAAAUUAAUAACCGUGUACGAGAAAUAGUCAUAAACCAGGUGCAGGCAAUAAGUUUUUGCAUAAACACUGUUCAUGUGUCGGCGCUUAAACUAUAUGAUAAUGAUAAGCCAAAAAGGUCAAAGGACAUGAGAUAGGUGGUGACGUACGUAUUAAUAUAACUAUAAAUAUAAAUAUAGAGUGAGGCUACUAUGCUAUCGGAAGCACGGAGCCUUCCGUGCUUCCAGCUCGUUUUCAAUAUUGCGACUUUCGAAUCGUCGAUCGGCUCCGUUAAAUUUGAUAUAGAGUAUUUGGAGUACCUAGAAAAUAAAUUUUAUUAUUUUUCGAUAUCAUUUUCUUAGUGAUCGAAUGGGCUCAAAAUUAAUAAAUUUCAAUGGCCGUAGUGAGCCGUUUGCAAGUUUAACUGUGUAGAAAUAUCCAAAUCACGUGAAAUUUUGAUAGAAAAUUCUUUAUACUAUAUAAAAUAAGAUUAAUAUCUUUGAUUUAAAAUUUUAAUGUCAUAUUAUUAUAUUUUGUAAGAUUUUUAUUUUCAGCCGUUGAUUUUGAGCCCUUUCGUUUACUAGGCAAAUGAUAUCGUAAAAUAAUAAAAUUUAUUUUCUAGGUACUCCAAAUACUCUAGAUCAAGUUUAACGGAGCCGAUCGACGAUUCGACAGUCGCAACAUCGAAAACGAGCUGGAAGCACGGAAGGCUCCGUGCUUCCAAUAGCAUAGUAGCCUCACUCUAUAAAUAUAAAUAUAAAUAUAUACUGAUACAUCAUACAUAUAUAUAUAUAUAUAUAUAUUAGCGGCUAAUAUCUACGUACUUAAUUACAAUUCAACAUGUCAAAAAUGUUUAAUAUAUACAGGGGAUUUAAUUAGCAACAGAGUUCUCGCGUUUCACAAUUCACAAAGAAAAAAGAAUGUAUAGAAUUUAUAUAACUGAUAAAGAAAAAAGCAUUAAAAUUGGAAAAAAAAAUGUAUAGAAUUUAUUUGAAUUAUAAGUUAUUUUGAUUUGAAUAUUCAAUCUUUUAAAAUUUUGAUCGUAAUAAUUAUUAUUUUUUUUAAUUUGUUUUGAUUUACAUCAUUUAAUGACUUUGCAGGUACAAAAUUUAAGUGAAUUGUUUGUUUUAAUAAACUUGUAGUUACAUGAAUAAAAUAAAAUGUGCUGAUUGAAUCUGUGAAGAUAAAGGACGUAUUUUAAAUUUUAAAAUUAAAGAGUCAUUAACUGGCUCAAAUCAAAUUAAAUCGGAAUGUUAUGCGGCAUAAAUAAAAAUUUUAAAAAAUUAAAUUGUUAGAUUAAAAUGGAUAAUAGUUGAGAUAAGUUCUAUAUAUUUUUACCUUAAUAUCAGAAGUUUAAUUAACCCGGAGAAAUGCAGUGUUAGGAAAUAGAUUACAUAUUUUCUAUAUAUUAAUGAAGUUUUCGUAUAUAAUUUAUCGGAUAUUACUGUAUUCAUUAAUUUCCUUCCCACCUAAAUAUUUUGCUUUUGAUAAAAAAUUUUAGAUGUUAAUCGAAUGAUUUGUACUUUGAUUUUAGAAUAAUUUAAGUAAUGGAUAUCUGUAUUUACCAAAUUUUGCAUUUGUAAUUAUACUAAAUUUAUUAAAUUAUAAAAAACAACUGUACAACUUCAAAACUUAAACUACAUAGAACGGUAUUUUUAUUAUUUAUAUUUAACACUAAUGUGGGCUGAUAUUAAAUGGAAGAAAAUAAAAUAAUAUUAGGAGUUUGGUAACACUUGAACACAGGAUAUAUCUUUUGCGCGAAUACUAUGUGGAAAUAUACAAAAGAACUGUAUAUCUCCAAAAGGUCGAAAGUUCGAAACUCUGUAUCUUCUUUUAGUGAAGAGGUGAUUUGACCCAUAACUUUGGGUUGGAGUUUUGGACGUCAAUGGAUACGGAUACCCGAAAUUUUAUCCGAACCUGAACCCGAAUGGAGCAGAUAUAUUUAAUGCUAAAUGGAUAUGGAGAUCAAAAAUAAAAACCUGACGGAUAUAGAUUCGAAUAUAGAUUUUGACUGUACCCGAACCCGACCCGAACCGGACGAAUAUGAAUUCGGAUAUGGAUUUUGACUGUUCCCGACCCGAACCCGGAAUUUUAGGUAGUGAAUAUAAUUUUCUAUCAAAAAUUCAACCUAUUCCGAUUCUUUUACACAGUUAAACUAACAAAUAUUCCAUACCGGGCGUUAAAAAUUGUCAAUUUUGUGAGUUUUUGAUUGUAACGUAAAUGAUAUCAAAAAAUUAUAAAAUUUGAUUUUUAUAAGUUUUAAAUGUUUUAGAUAACGUUUAACGGUAUGGAUCGUCGAUUCGGAAGCUCUAUCGUCGAAAACGACUUAUGAGUACGAGGGCGAUCAUACUCAUAAGAGUAUAGUAGUCGGACUAUAUAUAUAUAUAUAUAUAUAUAUAUAUAUAUAUAUAUAAUUGAGCUCUUAUGCUUUUAAAAGUACCAAGUCAUUGGUGCUUGUAAGUUUUCGACCUUUGGAUUAAUAGAUGUGCGGUUAGGAUGAUAUGGGUCCCCUAGGGUUGAGUGAGUGGUUGGUUGAAUAGUAUAAUCUAACAGAUGAAAAUGAUCAAAUGCAUAGAUCUAAUGGUAGAAAAUUUACAAGCACCAAAUGCUUGGUGCUUUUACAAGCACCGUAGCCGGACUCAUAUAGAAUUGAGCUCCUAUGCUUUUAAAAGUACCAAGUCAUUGGUGCUUGUAACUUUUUAGCCCUUGAAUUAAGAAAUGUGCGGUUAAGUUGAUGUGGGCUCCCUAGGGUUAAGUGGGUGGUUUGUUGAAUAGUAUAAUCUAACGGGUGAAAAUGAUCAAAGGCGUAGAUCUAACGGUAAAAAAUUUACAAGCACCAUAGCCGGACUCUCUCUCUCUCUCUCUCUCUCUGUAUAUAUAUAUAUAUAUAUAUAUAUAUAUAUAUAUAUAAAAUUUGAUAUUAUAUUUAAAUUUGUAUUUUAAAAAUUUAGAUUUGAUGUAAUAAGGGAUAAUUUCAUAGAUGCCCUUCUGGGGACUUUUAAUUUCAUCAAUACCCUUCUAAAAUUGAUAAUAUCAUGAAUACUCUCCAAUAUAUAAAAAAUUUUCAUACAUACCCUCCACUAGUUAAAGUCCGUUAGAAAUGGGAUUAAAUUUUCAAAAUGCCAUUUUUACCCUUUAUCUCUUAUCAAUAGUAAAAUUACUAAUAGGUAUUUUAAGACAAUUUUAAUAAAUAUAAAUUUAACUAAUUUAAUAUACUAAAUAUAAAACUAAAUUAUUAAUAUAUACAUUAAUUAUUAAAAAUAUAUAAAAAAUGUAUUUUAUAUAUAAUAUGUUUUUAUAUAAUUUUGGUUUUGUUUUUGGUUUCGGAUUUCGGCUCAAGUUUAGUUUGGAUAUAGACUAAAACAAUAACUGAAUUUGAAUAUAAUGAGACUUUUUUUUUUGCUUCUAUAACUGAAACUAUCCCUGCUCAGCAUCAAUUAAGAUCACCCAUUCAAAAUUGGGUUCAUAUAUAUCUAUAUCAAUUCACAUUCCUAAUCAGUAAUAGUAAAUUUAAAAUAAAUGAUAGAUUUAUUUUUUUUAUUUAAUCAAAAAUAAAUUAUAUAACUAUAUGCAUGCAUUUUUUCGUCGAUUGAAAAAAAAGAGAGAGUUUUGUUCAAAAGCUAAAAUAUAUAAUAUUUCAGUUUUUUAAUGCAUUUAAUAUAGAUAAAAUUAUCGUGAAUAAUUUUGGUUAAAAAAUUUUGCAAGUUUCCAAGAUUAAACAAAGAUAAAAAAAAAUCCUCAACUUUUAUUUUUAUUUAAAUUUUUAUACAUAGUUAUUUAUUUGCUAAAAUAUAAAUAGAGCCACUAGAUUUUGUUAAAUCAUAAAAAAAAUGGACAAAAUCUCAUUUUCCGUGCACUAAAAUUAGUUAAUUUUUUAAAAAAUUAAAAAUUAAUGGGAUGUCAACUAAAAUAUAAAAGUUGAGGGAGUUGUUUUAAAAUGACAUAUAGCUGAGGGAUCUCCAUGCAUUUUUACUUAUAGGAGUUGAGGGUAAACUAGUCAUAUUAAAAGUUAACCCAUCUUUAACCAUUCAAUAACUAUGGUAAAGUUAGAAUAACUAACAGUAGGGGUAUUGAUGUUAUUUUUUGAUGUUUUCAGGGGUAUGUAUGAUAUUUUAAAUUUUAGAAGGGUAUAUAUGAUAUUUUAAAGUUUAGAAGGGGCAUCUAUGAAAUUGCCCCUAUAUUUUAAAAUAUUGAAAAAAAAAUAAUUGUUUCGGAUUAAUUUGAACUUUCGGGUUCGGGUUCGGAUUUCGAAUUUUUGGUUGGGUUCGGAUUCAGGUUUUUGAAAAUUCGCCCCGAAUCCGACCAUUGACUUCUCUAGUUGGAGUGACUCCAGGAGUGUGAAAAAGAGAAAAAAAAUUUCUAAAAAAGUUACUAAAUAAGAUUGGGAACUUCAAGUUAUUUUUUCUAUUCCAAUUAGGAUUUAAAUUUCAAAAUAGAAAUUGCCACUUCUACCUAGAUUGGACUUUGCAUACCCUAACUUUAGUUUUUUACUUUAGAUGCAAUGGCUUCUAGAAGUUUUUUUUCAAAAAAAAAAAAAAAAACUCCCCCUUGAUGUUGUACACCUGAAAUUAUAGCAAGUUCAGCUUAUAUUUCUAAUUUUGUUAAAAUCCAAUAUAACAAUUAAUUCUUUUAAUAAUAAUAGGUACUUACUAUUUAAAAAUAGCAUCUCACGAAAUAUAUUUUUUUAAUAAUAUUGUGCAGACAAUAUUUUACUGAACAACAUUAUGACCGAAUUUAGUAUCAUUACUGUUUGUUUUUUUAUAUUUGUUUUCAAACACUAAUUCUAUAUAAUUUAAAGUGUGGGAGAAAAUAUUUCUUUUUUAUUGUGUUAUAAUUGGUUCCGUUGUAAUGUAUUUGGCUAAGUAACACAUGUCAGCUCAUUUAAAAGUAACACAUGUAUUUGCCAAAUAAAUAUUUUCUAAUAUUUAUUUAAUUAUAUGCCAAGAGUAAAAAUUGAUAUCUACUAAUGGGCCUAAACUCAAUAGGCUUAAAUUUUUAAAUUGAAACGAGUUUCAUUAUGUAUAUAGAGAGAGAGAGAGAGAGAAAGAAAGAGAGAGCUGCUAUACUCUGAUAAGUAUAGACCAUUUUGUACUUAUAAAUUUUCGGUUGUUGAAUAAACAGAUGUGCGGUUAGGAUGAUAAUGGUUUUCGGUUAGAAAGAUAGUUGUCCCCUAGGGUUGAGUAGGUGGUUAAUUGUAUAGUGUGAUCUAAUUAUGUGAAAAUGAUUAAAGGGGUAGAUCUAAUGACUGAAAACUUAUGAAUGCAAAAGAAUCUAUAGAGACAGAACUGAUCCCCUAACACAGAUAUUAUAUAAGCAUUCUACAUGCAUCGAGACUUUGUUAGUUAGAAAGAACCUAAUUUAGAAUUGAAUGUGCCGAUCGAAAAGCAAAUGCGCCUGCUUUCGCUCUUCUUUUUUCUGUCACCGUCGCUGAAGAAGCACGCAGCAUUACAGCUUUAGUCAUAGCCCCACCAUUCUCUCACUGGAAGAAUCGAAAAAUCUUUCUUUCUGCACAGUCCAUGCAUGCACCAUUCUGGUAUUAGCAUAUAAUAAUAGUUCAAAUGGAAGCUCCAUGAUAAUCACAAAAAGGAGAAGUUGCAGGAGUCAAUGAGAAAAGAUUGUGUAAGAAAAUUGGUGUGGAAAGAGUACUAGUCAAGGUCUAUUCCGGGUCAAAGCAGGAGAGUGGAGAUUCACACGGCUCCAUAUCCAUUUAAAUACCAAAUUAUUAAAUUAAUUUCAUUUGUCUAAGCUUCGCCCACGUGGUCAAAUGCAGUGCAUCUCUCUCUCUCUCUCUCUCUAUAGAGCGUGGACCUCUUGUAUAUAUAUUUUUAGAAGAACGAUGAUUUCGUGUUAUUAAGUCAUUUUCGAUAUUGGGACAUUCGAAUCAACGAUUAGUUCUGUGAGAUUUGAUCUAAAAUAUUUAAAAUAAUUAGAAAAUAAAUUUUGUAAAUUUUUAAUAUCAUCUACUUACUUAUCGAAUAGUUCCAAAAUCAAUAAUAUUAAUAGUCAUGUUGAGCUGUUUGAAAGUUUAAAGGUGUAGAAAUAUUAAAAUUAUAUAAAAUUUUAAUAAAUUUUUUUUAUACUAUAUAAAAUAAAAAGUAAGAUUAAUAUUUUUGUUCCAAAAAUUUUAGUGUCGUAUCAUAGUUUUUUUAAUAUUUUUAUUUUCAGCCUUUAAUUUUGAGCUCUUUUGGUUACCCGCUAUAUAACAUAAAAAAAUAACGAAACUUAUUUUCUAAUUAUUUUAAGAUCGUUGAUUCGGAAGUACCAAUAUCGAAAAUAACUUAAUAUUGAUGUCACAAUAUAUAUAUACAUGCGCGCGCUAAACCUCACACAUUCGUGCAUGGGUUUUAGCUCGUUCUUAAUUGUUCUAAUUUUCUUCUUUAUUUAAAAUUUAAAAUUUUGAAAUCUCUCACGACGUAGACGGUCUGCUGGUAGGUUGAGAUGAGUCUAAAAAGCUGCCAAAAUGAGGGAGAGAAAACGAAUUUUGAGGGAAAGAAAACGAAUUUUAAGUCCACAACGUAACUGAUUGAAUAGAAUUUAGAAUUCUAACCUAUAUAUAAUGUGUUACAAAUGUGUAUAAUUUAUGGGCACUCUAAGUCACUUUGAAUCGGCUAUUCAAUAUGUUGGAAACCAUAUGGAUCGCCUUACGUCACGGAACGAAUCGCCUUACGUCACGGAUGCCAAUCGGAGAGGGCUACCAGAGUCCUCUCCUAUGUCCACGCUCUAAAACCCCCGGAAACGUAGGUGGAAAUCCCAGAGAGGAAGAAGAGAGAAGAAGGAAGAUUUUUGUGGAUUCUCGAAUUAGAUCGUAUUCUUUUUCCUCAUUCCUACGGGAGAAAACGGGGGCGUAUAUAUAGAAUAACGGAACCCCUAAAUAUCCUGAAUCUCAUUAGGAUUAGGAUUGGGAUAUUUAUUAACAUAUAAUAAAUAUCCAUUAUAAGAUAUGUUUCUUAACUGAUAAGAAACAUAUAAUUUAUACUUAUCCUAAACUUAUUAGGAUAAAUCAUGAUCCACAUCUUAUGUGGAUCGGGUUUAAUCAUAACCUGCCAAUGUGGACAAACCAUAUGGCAACACAAUCUUUUAAAAUUUUAAUUUUAUAAUCUAACAUUUCAAUUUAGUUAAUUUGAGUCGGUAAAUGAUACUUUUGGCCAUAAAAUUUAAGCUAAGUAUCUAUUAUAAUAAAUUUAUAGUUUUAAAAAUUGUAUGAAUUAAACCUCUAAAAAUAACUUAUGCAUACAAAUUUUGAAGUCAAAGUACCGUCAAUUGACUCAAAUCAAGCAAAAUUGAAUGCUGGAUAGUAAAAUUAAAAUUUUGAAAUGUUAGAUAGAUAAAUCCAUAUUGUUCAUAGUUCACAUAAGUUUCAUACGUUUUUACCUAUUAUUUUAUCUCUUUUGAUUUAAGAUUAGUAGGAUUCUCUUGCUUUUCAGUUGUGUAAUUGUAUUAUUUAAGGAGCGUAAUUUCUAUCGAAAAAAAAAAAAAAAACCAUUAGGUGGAGUAUGAUUAUUAUACUAUUAUAAGUACGAAGAUUUUUAUAUUCAUAAGUCAUUUUCGAUAAUUGAGCUUUUAAAUCGAUGAUUCAUAUUGUUAAAUAUGAUUUACAGCAUUUGAAGUAUUUAAAAAUUAAAUUUCGUAAUUUUUGAGUUCAUAAUAAAAUCUAUCAGGUGGAUAUAAAAUGAAUAAUCACAAUCGAACGAUCUACAUAUAGAAUCUUUAAUUCAACAUUGAUUUACACAGCGAAUAGGAUUUUCUAUCAAAAUUCAACCGAUUUCGAUUGUUUUACAUCAUUAACUAGGAUAUGCUUCAUAUUGAUCGCUAAAAAUGUCAAUUUUUGGGCCUUUUAGUCGUUAGGUUAAUAAUGUCGAAACUUUAUAAAAUUUUAUUUUUAAAAUAUUUAAAUAUUGUAAAUUAUGUUUAAUGAUAUGUAAGGCUUAGUUUGGAAUUGCAGAAAGAUUGCAUUAUGUGCGGUGAGAAAUGACGAAGGAAAAAUUACCCUGUUUGUUUUCGUGCGCAAUAUUGCAUUUCGCAUACUGCGGUUAGUCAAUUACUAUAUAUUUUUUGCGGUCCCAUCGGAGAACGCAGAAGCAUAUCCCUAUAUACUGCUUCUCAACUCCAUUCUAUCUAAUAGCGUUAGAUUGACCUCAAUACCAAACAAAGCCUAACUCUAUCACCAAAAACGACUUCCAAUAGAAAGGGAUCAUACUCAUAAAAGUACAAUAAUUGAGCUCCUAUUAAAUGUUCGGCUAUAAUUAUGGGACGAAGGACAUAUCUCGCAUAGUUUACUACUGAUGUUGUAAAUCAUAUCUAAGCGAUAAUUUCUACAUACAAAAGUGUUGAUUGCCGGGGGACAAACCGGAUUACAACUCAAGUUCAACUCGAGCUCACCUUAGCUCCGGCCUAAUCAAAAUAUCCCGACCCAACUAAUUUGGGCCUGAGCCCAACCAGAACAACAUUAGGGUUUUGGACUAUGUUUUGGGCCCAAUCAAAUAAGUAAAGCCCGGCCCAAAAUUACUUGGGCUUUGUGAGAAAAUUUGGACGACGAAUUUGAUGAUCUCAUCGUAAGAAUAAUUUCUCCCCGUAAAAAAACUUUUAUUUGAAAUGUCGAAGCCGAAUUUAAAUGGGCCUACGUGGGCUUUUUCAAACAAUUUUAGUACUUUUUUUUUUUCUGAAUGGGGCAGGGUCUGUGAUACCCUUGAUUUAGAGCCCAACGGGUUAUUAGUGCUAGUAGGUUGGACCGCUGGAGCAUUAUAGUGUCGCUACCAAGUUUUGACCCUAGUUAGUUAAUUCAGAUUCAGCAAAAAUUUGGUACGGGUAUAAUACGAAUAAAAUUUGUAUCCUAAUUUUUAAAUUCGUUAAAAAAUACAGGCCUAAAAAGUAGUUUCGCCAAUGAUUCGGAUAUGUUGUUUAUGCGAAAAUUAUACGUUUAUCAAUUAAAAAUUCGAGAUAAAAAAUUCGGCUAUUAAAUUAAAUUUUUUUUUAGAUUUAAACUACCACCAUAAAUAGUUAUAAUUUUAAGAAUAUAAAAAUAAAGAGCUACAAAAUAAAGUAGAUUACGGAAAAAAAUAAUAGCAAACUUUAUUAUACACUACGAAAUAUAAAUAAUCAAGUAAGAAAUAGAUUAAGAUGGUACAUAAUUAAACAUAAAAUAUAAAAAACAAAUUUAGGGUGAGAGAACAGAGAGUUCAUGCUGAAAUAUAAAAUAUAAAAAAGUCCAUACUUAAACAUAAAAAAUAUAAAUUUUUUUAUUCAGAUUUUCAACAAUUCGUGAAUAAUUUGCAAAUAAUUUGGCUAGCCCAAAAUAUCACAUUUUAUUUUGUUUUUUUUAGAAAAAAAAGGUCAUAUACGAAGAGUUGUAUUCGAAUUUUUAGUAAUUCAUGAAUAAUUCGUGAAUUCACUGACAUAGAACUUUUUUUUUGCAUUUGGCCCCUAAAAAAGAUUUAUUUUAAAAAUAGCUCAGGAAAUUUAUUUUUGCAAAAAUGACCAUAAUCCUGCUACGUAGGUGCCACGUCAGCACCACGUGAGCAAGGCUAGGGCAAGUUUGUUAAGUUGAAUACAGUGAAUCAUUCACCGUAUCUAAACACGGUGAAUGAUUCACUGUGUUUGGAAAAAAUAUAAUAUAUUCGUAUUGCGAAAAAAUAUAAGGAAAAUAUAUGGGGGUGUUUGAACAGGGUGAAUAGUUUACCGUGUCUAGAAAAAAUAUAUGUAUUAUAAAAAAAUAUAAGUAUUGAAAAGAAAAGGAGGGGAAUAUAGGUAAGGAACACGGUGAACAUUCGCCGUGUUUGAACACGGUGAAUGAUUCACCAUAUUCAACUUAAAAUCAUGGCGCUGAUGUGGCGCUUGCGUGGCGGCGAUAAGGCCAAAUUUGCAAUUAUAAAUUUGAUGGAACUAUUUGUAAAAAAAAAUAUUUUGAGGAGAUCAAAUGCAAAAAAGCCCUAAAUAAUAUGAUCAUUAGGGUUCCCUUUGGUUCAAGGAUAAAAUGGGUAUAAUGAAAGUUAUUACUGCUAUUCCGUCAAACCGAGUGCUUUUUGACCGGAAUAUUUUAUUUCGGUCAAAUUUUGCUAUUCCCGGCUAUUUCGGAAUAGCUUGAAAUUUACUAUUCCACCAUUUUAACAGAAUAAUGCUAUUCCAAAGUUUAAUUUCAAAUUUUAUUAAAAUUAUAAAUUGAAUUAAAACUAAAUUAUAAAAUAUUAUAUUUUAUUAUUUUUAUUAUAAAAUUAUUAAUUAUACUAUAUUAAUACAUAUUAUUUAAAUUUAAAUAUUAUAAUAAAAUUUAUAAUAUAUUAUAUUUAAAUGUUAUAAUAAAUUGUGUUUAUUAAAUAUUAUAAUGAAUUAUUUUUAUAAUAACUAUUUUAUAAGAAAUUAUUUUUAUUUAAUUAUAUUUUAUAUCAAACUCAACCAACCAUUUUUUUUCCACUAACCUUUCCUAUUCCAAAAAAUUAACCAAACACGAUUUUAAUUAUUUCUAGAAAUACCAGCAUUACAAACAAAACACAAUUUAUUUUUAUUCCUAAUAAUUCCAGAAUAACAAGCUAUUCUAAGAAUAAAAAAAAUUUAUUCUUCGUUAUCCCCAAACCAACGGGGCCUAGAAGUUUUAGUAGGAGAUUUUUAUUUCUGGAUGUCUUAGUUUGUAGCCAGGGAUUUCCCGAGUCUUUUUUUUUUUUUUUUUUCCUUAUUUGUUUCUUGUUUUUCUUUUGAUUUAUUUCUUAUCCUCAAUCUUAUCCUCAUCUUCCUUUUUUUCGGUUUUUCACUCUUAUCGCUUAGUGCAUUUUUUUAAUGAAACAAGCAGGCAGUGUACUAUUCUUCUCUCCCCCAAAUAAAAAAAGAUUAAGUACUGAGAUUACGCGCAUAGGCGUCUACAAAACUACUAGAAAUCCUUUUCCUUUAUUUUCUCCAAGUAAAUCACAUUUUUUUAAGUCGAGAGUACAACGAUUGUUUCACAUGAUAUCAGAAUAAAAGGUACUAAGUUCGUGUCACGCCAUGCUCCUUUUAUUGUUAAUUUUCUUCCAUUUAAUUCAAACCCACGUCAUGGGCGUGGCAAAAAAUUUUGAGCCCAGACGUAAGAAAUGUGUUAAAUAUAAACAAUAUAAAAAUACUGUUCUCUAGAAGGUUAAGUUUUUAGAAUACAACGGCCGUUUCACAGUCGGUCAAAGGGAGCUAGUCAAAAAAUAAUAGCUUAAGUUUUUGAAGUAUCAUAAGCUUUUAAAUAAUUGAACCCUUGGCGGAUCCUUGGCGGAUCCUUCAUCCUUUAUGAGGCUCUAGUAUUUAGUGGAAAGAUUCAAUCAAUUGUACAAAGCAUCAUUCUCCGUGAGAUCCUCGGACAUGAAAAUUAUAAAAGAAAAAUGAAAAAAAGAGAAUCUAUUAAGUGGUUAAUAUUUUCUUGUACAGCUUAAUUAGCGGAAUAAUUAUUUUCCUGAUGCAUGCAACCAACUCAUGUAACUAAAAUCAAAAGGACAAUUAAUCCCAAUAAAAUACUACUCAUUAUUGUGAUAUAUAAUAAAUCUAAGAGGUUUAGUUUCCAUAAAAAAAUUUCAAAUAUACUUUUCUGACUGAAAAAAUAUUUUUAUACGUUUGAUCUUCAAAAAAAAUAGUUUUUUUCUGAUUUUAUGGAAAGGUCUACUUUUCUUUUUUUUUAUUUUUUUUAUUCGGAGAACAAAAUCUAUAAAAGAGUGGUUUUAAAAAAUAUAUUUUUUUAUUUUCCACUCACUAAUAUCAUUUCACUUUGCUUGUUUAUGCAAUUAAUGCAUGCUUAGAGCUCCCCCAAAUAAAGCCUUUCUCAUGUCUCUCUUUUGCUUGUGGGUGCAAAGAGAGGUUGUUGCUUGUGUUUGAUUUAUCAAAAUAGAAGCAUUUAUGUACUCUCUCCUAGUGUUGAGGCAAAUGCUUCAAUGGAGAGGAACAAGAAAUAUCAUUAGGGUUUUCUAUUUUUCAGUACAUCUCUCUUCCUUUCUCCAUUAUUCAAGUAUAUGCAUGUGCUAAUGUAAUUUCAUGCAUGCUACAUGGAAUCUUGUAAAAGUUUCAUAAACAAGCGAAGAGCGCUUAAGAGCUGAGCUGGAAUGCUUUUAAAAACACAAAAACUUUCGUGCUUCCAAACUGAGCAGGAAUACUUUGAGAUCACUCGAUAGUUAGAUAAAUGAUAUUAAAAAUCACAAAAUUUAAAAACGUGACUCUCGGCGCUUCUUCUAAAAGCACCUAGCUCUACACUGUUACAUAAUAUAUCCUACUAUAAGCUACUUAUGAUUUCUGAAGUAAUGCAUGGAAUAUUUUAGCGAGAAUGGUGAGAUUAAGCCAUCAAUUAGUUAGAUGUUUGUCACACUAAUAAUAAGACAAAAUCCCUCACCUUGAUCUAAGAAGGUUAUCUAAAAGUCCAUGUUGGGAGUGGACCCUUGAUGAGCCCUUCACAACAACCCCAUGGUGCAUGCACUAAAUUCAAACUUUAUAGAUUCCAGGGGAAUUGCAUACAGCUACCUGUAAAUAUAACUAAUUGCAAAUAUAUCUCUAUAAAGUUUAAUUUUUCUUACGUUAUCUUUGCAAAAGUUCAAAUAUUUUUAAAUAUGCCCUUGCCAUUUAGGAUCUGUUAGAAAAAUUUAGUUAACUAUAGGUAAAAUACUCAACUCUGAUUAGUCAAUGAAGUAAAUUGAUAGUUUUAUUCCUCUUGUGUUAGACUUUCUUCGCUCAAUCAAAAUCCUAGCAAUAGGAACUCUUCUUUUUCUCUCUCGCUUCCUCUCUCUUUUAUGCUAGUUACUAAUAUGUAACUAGAAUUUAUCUAUCCUUAUUCAUCCACGAUGUGUGUUGCUCGUCCAUAUUGAACAUGUGUUGCUUCCCCAUUAAAUUUCCUUUAUAAUUUUUUUUUAUUUUGCUUAAAAGAAAAUGGAGAAAAGGAGAGUGAGAGAAGAGAUUGCAACAAUGGUGGAUUGAGUUAGAUUUUAAAGAGGAAGGAGAUUAGGAAGAAGAUGAUUAUUGAAAAUUUUUUGGGGUGACAUUUCUUCACGAUUAUAGCAGUUGAGGCUUUUUAGGGAUAUAUUUGUGAUGAUAAAAUUGACAUUUCACUUAUCCGUUAUUAAAAAAUAAAUAGUUCUUUAAUGGUAAUAAACUAGAGAGAUAAAUAUGAAUAUCACGGUAGUUUUGCAAGGAUAACAUAAGAAAGAUGAACUUGUAGGGAUAUAUUUACUAUUCGAUAUAUUUACAGGGUGCUAUAUGCAAUUAACCCUAGAUUCUACUUCAUGCUGUUUAAAACAGUUGGUUGAUAUACAAAAUCCAAAUUUGAAUGCUGCUCUGAGCUCGAAGUAAAAUCUAUAUGCCAAAAGAAAUAUGAUACUAACAUAUUAGAUUUAGUAAAUUUGAUCGAAUUAGAACGAAGUUAAUUAGUGCAAUGCUUUAAAGAGAGAUUAAUUUUAUUUUAGAUAAUCACUUAAUUAAUUAACCUAUAUUUUGCCAAGGGAUUUUUGCUUGGCCAUUAUUUAAAAUUUUCAAAUUUGUCCUAAAAUUAUCAAAAUACCUUUCUAAACCUCAAAUUUCAUUAAUAAAUGUUAGGAGCUUAGAAACAUUUGAAUUUUUUUUUGAAAAUCAAUAAAAUAUUUUGAUCAACAAAAAAUAUUAUAUAUUUUUGAAAAUUUGAAGGUUAUAUUAAAUAUUAUCCCUUUUGCCUCCGCAAACGCCUACACACUCAACAGGUUUAAAUGAUUAAGCAAGAGAUCAGCUUUGUCAUAGAACUAAUCAGUUUUUUUUUUAAUCUAAAAAAAAAAAGAACUCAUGCACUAUUGUGAUUAUACCACGUGUCACCUACAUAGUGUAAAUAAUUAAAUUAAAUCAUUGGGUCAUUAUCCAAAAUAUUUUCUAAUCCCACUUUUAGCCUACACAUUACUUAGUAUGUUUAAAUUAUAAUUAAGUAAAUAUGCACCGUUGUGAUCGAUCCAUGUGUCACCUACAUAGCAAUUAUUUCUUUGUACUAAUCCUAAUUUAUUCAUGAUUAAACUAUUUGGUGUUACUUUUCAAAAAAAAAAUGAUUAAACAAUUUGGUCAUUAUCCUAAACCUACCAAUUAGUGAAUAAAAGGUACAUGAUUAUCCAAGUGAGUUUGAUGGAAUAAUCCAACUCAGGAGUAAAUCGAAGAUUCGAGAGCAAAUUAUGAUGUUCACAUGGUUUAUAAAGUAUAUAUAUACUAUAUAAAAGUGUUUGUCUAAUUUGGUUAUCUAAUUAAACCACUAAGCAUUGUUCUUUAUAAAUUAAAAAAGGUAGACUAUAUAAAAAAUGGUAAAUAUAGUAACUAAUUAGACUUUAAUUUGCUACAAUUUAUGAAUUGAGCUUUAAUUUGCGCUUUAAUUAAUAGGAUGGUUUUGUUAUUAACUAACUUAGUUUCGCAAUCGAGGAUAAUGGUGUUUUCAUAACUGAUUCAGCUACUAAUAUUAUAUUUUAUUGAAUUUUGUGUUUAUGAUGCGAUAGCUAAUUUAGCAGCUACGUAAAAAUAGACAAUAUAGCGAGAUAGUUAAAAUAAAUUGUAAAAUACAUCACAUGAGGUGAUAAGAAAAUAAUGGAGGAGAAAAACUUUGCCACAGGUAUAAUCUCUUUGAAUGAAAAACAAGCUAGUAAGUAAUUAUCUAGGAUGAAAUGAAUAAAAUUUUACUAUAAAUAUUCGUUUUUCAAAUUUAUCCCCUAAUUUUUUUAAAAUAUUAUUCUCUUUUUAAAAAAAAUUUAAAGCAAUAGCACUUAGGGGCUGUUUGGUUGUACGCAUUUGCAACUGCAGUGCAGUUGCAAAUGCGUGCAGCCAUAAUUCCUUUGUUUGGUUUAGUGUAGUUGAGUUCAACUGCUGCAGUUCCAACUGCACAAGAAGGCCCAAAUGCUGUAGUUGGAACUACAUCCAAAUUGGUCGUAGUUUCAACUACAGCAGUUGGUGAGGGAGAAGAUCACCCACAAAUUAAUAAUAAUAAUAAAUAAAUAAAUAAUAUAUGUAUAUAGGUAAAUAAAAAUACUUAUAAAUAAACUCAUACUAAUAAAAUUUUUUAGACAAUACAAGCUUUGUGCAAAAAAUUAAUUUUUUUAAAUUUAUUUUAUUUAAAAUAUAAAUAUAGUUUUUUUUUCUAAAUUUUUAUAGAAUGUGAUCGUGUAUGUUAAUUUAAUAAGUUUUAAUUAAUUAUAAUUAUUAAAAUUCAUAAAAAAAAAUGAGAGAAUCGUUUAAAUUUUUAAAGUUUGAUUUACAUAUUAAAAUUAAAUAAAUUAAAAAUUUUAAAUGUGUCGAUUAAUAAGUUGAAGAAUUAUUGAAAAAUAUAAAAAUAUUAUAUAUAUCUACUUAUUUAUUUAUAAAUAGUAAAUUUAAAUAAUUAAUAAAUUUAUACAAUUAUUUUAUGUUUAGUGAAGGUAACCUCACCACUCUAUCUAAAGAGGUGACAAAAUUCAUAAAUACAACUAUCAGCUUCAUAUUACCAAACAGAAGAAAUGUAACUGCAGCAGUUGCAACUGCGUAAAACCAAACAGACUAGGUGUAGUUAUAACUGCAGCAUGCGCAACUGCAUGUAUUUCCAACUACACUGUUUCUGCAACUACAUCCAACCAAACGGCCCCUUAGUCUCCCCUUACUAUUUUGUUACCAUUAUGUAUGUGUAUUAAUUAUAUGGUAAAACUAAUAACUAUUAAUAUAUCUAUUUUAUACGAAAAUAAUGAAAGUUAAUUAUUUAGUGUAAUUUGAUUAAAAAAAUAAAUUUGGCAACAAAUUAAUUUUUUUGAUAAAACAUAAUUUUUUCUAAAUGGAAUGGUCAACUGAUCAAGGGAUGGCACCGCGCCACGGUUGGAAGGAUCCAAUCUGAGCCGUUCAUUUGACCGAAAGCUCUGAGCCAUGCAACGUCGCAUGUGACAACGCAUCCGCGUAGAUCACGAGAACCUUGCUUUGUUAAUUAAUUAACUAAUAUUUUUGAACCUUUGACCUAAAAAAAUUUGAUUGGGCUAUCUAAAUUUUUAAAGUUUUUAUUUUAUUAUUAUCAAAUCUCUCAAUUUAUUUGAUUUGAUCAGCGGAUGAUAUUUUAAUUUUAAAAUUAGAAUGUUGUUUAUUUUUAUAUAUUUAGCUAGUAUAUUUUAUAUAAUUUUCAUAACUAUAAAUUCAUCGAAAUGAAAAAAAAUCAGUAUAUAUAUAUUUAGCUAUAUAUUUAGCUAGUAAGAUCAAAAUUUUGGAAGAUAGAUAGUUGAUUCCGAAUAGUCAUAAUUCAGAUAAAUUCGAUACAUUUUUACCAAACAAUUAUGUCAAAAAAUUAAAAAUUUGAAGUUAUUAUAUUCAGUUUAGAGAAAAAUAAGUAUUUAAUUAUUUUUGUGAAGUAGGAUCAUGCGCACAUCAUAUAUAACACAUUAGAGAUUCCGUGGUCCAAACAGCGAUUCUUUACACAUCAAUGUAAAUCACGAGAUCCUUCAUUUGUUAAUUAAUUAACUAAUAUUUGAACCUUUCCUCCACCCCCAAUCACCGUCCAUUCCGUACAAUUCAAAACAUGUAAAAAAUUGUACCAAAAAUGAAUUUUUUAUUUUCCAAAAUUUCGCAAAUUAGGGUUUGCAAGCUUAUUUUGUUGUGAUAAGCAUUAGCAUUUUUUCUUGCAGAAUUAUCUAGAUAAGCAUUUUGUCGCUGUACGUAUUAAGAUAUUUUAAUAAGGUUUUGCUACAUCAUUGGCUCGAAAAAUAUUUUAAUGAGCUAAUGAAAUUAUGCGGAACCCUAAUUAAAGAAGGUAACUUACUUUUAUGUCUAAAGAUCACGAUUUUCAUGGCACAAAAGAAAAACUUUUUGCUUUUAAUUCCCACGACUUCUUUGCUAACAAGUGUUUCACUGCUGUCAGCCCCGGCUAAUCACUUUUUCUUUUUCUUUUUUCUUUUCUGCGCAUGUGUACGUGCGCAAGUUCCGCUAUGGUCAUAUUUGUCUACUCCUAUUUGAUUUAUGGGUGUGUUUGGUUCGCAUUAUGAAAGAUUAUUAGGAAUAAAAAAUAUUUGAGAAUUUUAUUUCUAUUUAUUUUAUUACUAAGAAUGUAAAAUUCCUGUGUUUGGUUUGCUUUUAAUUUCCACAACUUCUUUUAUAACAAGUGUUUCACCGCUGUCAGCCCCGGCUAAUCACUUUUUCUUUUUCUUUUUUCUUUUCUGUGCAUGCGCACGUGCGCAAGUGCGUGUUUGUGGCGGUUCAGCUAUGAUCAUAUUUGUUUACUCAUAAUUGAUUUAUGGGUGUGUUUGGUUCGCAUUAUGAAAGAUUAUUAGGAAUAAAAGAUAUUUGAGAAUCUUAUUUCUGUUCAUUCUAUUACUAAGAAUGUGAAAUUUCUAUUUUUGGUUUGCACGGUAAUAUUAAUUAGCCAUGUUAUUUAAUAUUAUAAAAAAUAUACAAUUAAUUUAUUUAUUUAUUUAAUUAAUUUUAGAUAAUAUUACCAAAAGUUUCAACAUCUUUUUAGAAAAAAGUGAGAGAGAGUAUAAGUUUGAGAGAGAGAGCAUAAUUAAAAAAAAUAGAAAGAAAAAUAUAGUCGAAAUUAGAGGGAGUGAGAGAGUUGAAAUUUUAGAAAAAGAGAGAGAGAGAGAAAGCUUAGUUUAGAGAGAGAAAAAAAAAUUGAAAUUUAGGGAGAAAAAUAAGUUUAGAGAGAGAUAUAAGGUUAGAGUGUAAAGAAAAAUAAUAUCAAUUAGCCGGCGGGUAGGAAGAAAGAAAGAGAUUAGAUAUAUUAUGAUUACCCCAAUCCUACCCAUCCUCCCUCAAGGGAAUGAGAUUAGUACUUUGGGGUGAAUCUUAUUCCCAAAUAAAUCCAAUAUUACCAACUAGAUUACUUAGUGCGUUUAGCCAAAUAUCGUCAUAUUUUUUUAAUCCCAUUAGAUUACUAGAAAUUUUUAAAAGAUAGGGCGAACCAAAUGCACCCUAUAGGUUAAAAAGUAAGUUUUUAGUUGAACUGAAAUUUAAGUAAAAAAAAAGGUAAUUUUUCGUUACUAUUUGAUUGAUAGGAAGUCCACGGCACUGCAUUUGUAGUUAUUCCACUUUUUGCAUUUAUUUUACUGAAAAUUUUUAGGAAAAACUUCAAAUAUCCCUUGUGGUUUCGUACUUUCUUACUUUAGUAUUAUGUGGUUUAAAGUGUAUCAAGUUAGUAUCCUGUGGUUUCGCACUUUCUCACUUUAGUACCCUGUGGUUUAAAGUGUUUCAAGUUAGUACUCUGUAGUUUCAUUUUUGUAUCAAAUUAGUACCUCGUGGUUUCAUUUUUCUCUUUUUAUUAUCCAUUUCGGAAUAUUUUUUUCGCUAAAUCAGUGAUAAAGUUAAACUAAAUGAUACUAAAAUGAAUAUUCGAUAAACUUAGGUAAGGUGUCGGAAGUUUUUCGUAUAUAAUUUAACGAAAUAUUAAACCACGUGGUAAUAAAGUGAGAAAGUGCGAAACUGUAGGGUACUAAUUUGACAUACUUUAAAUCACAGGAUACUAAAGUGAGAAAAUGUAAAACCACUGGGUACUAACUUGAUAUAUUUUAAACUAUAAGGUACUAAAGUGAGAAAAUGUGAAACUACACGGGAGUAUUUGAAGUUUUUCUAAAUUUUUAUAUUAUCAUACAAGAAGGUUAAAAAUAGUCACAAUAGUUAACUUUUUAUUACUUUUUUAAUUUCUUUCUCUUCCACACGGGACUUCACCGCCAUUGACUCAAAAGAUAUUUUAUUAAAGAGCUAAUGAAAUUAUGCGGAACCCUAACGAAGGUAACUUUUAUGUCUAAAAAUCACGAUUUUCAUGGUACGAGAGAAAAACUUUUCGCUUUUAAUUUCCGCGCGCGGCUUUUUUGUUAACAAGUGUUUCACUACUGUCAGGUCCGUAAUUGAUUUUUCUUUUUCAAUUUUUCUUUUUCUUUUUUUUUUUUCUGUGCACAUAUACGUGCGUAAGUGCGUGUUUGUGGCAGUUCAGCUAUGGUCAUAUUUGUUUGCUCGUAAUUGAUUUAUAGAUUAAAAAAUAAGUUUUUAGUUGAAUUGAAAUUUAAAUAAUUUUUUUCUUUUUUUUUAACUUAAAUUUAAGAAAAGUGACGAAGAGGAGAAGAGGAAGGACUUUUCUCAACAUGGGGGCAAACAAACAUGCAGAAAUACUGAGUCGACGAAGGGGCAAAAUGGUAAAUACACUUUCCACACCCUCUCCAUUUAUAUACAUACAUGAUACACCCCCAAACCAAGGAACACAAACAAAGCAUUGUCUCCUCUGUUCGUUCCCCCACAUUUCCCUUCGCUCUUCAAAGUCUCAAAACACAUCUCUCUCUCUCUCUCUCUCUCCUUCAAGGGAAUGCGCCAUGACGCUCGCUGACGUAAGCGGCGGGGGGCGGCGACGUGCCGCUCUGGCCAUCCGUUUCUUGCUUCAAUAUUUACGUAGCAGCAGUAGUCACUAAUCACUCCUCAUCCUCAAAUUCGAUCGAUGACUGCUGUUCUCUCCUGAUCGACGUACAACACAUCGGCAUGAAGGAGGAGGAGGAGGAGGCGGCGGCGGCGGAGGGGGUGGUCGCAUGCUCCGCCUCGUCCCGAUGCGGCGGCGGAGGCGGCGGCGUCCUCGGCGGGCGCUACGAGCUUGGCCGCGUCCUCGGCCGCGGCGCCUUCGCGAAGGUCCACCGCGCCCGCGACCUCCGCUCCGGCCGCGCCCUCGCCAUCAAAGUCAUCCACAAGGAUAAGGUACACGACGAGACACGACACGAAGAUUUCAUGCUUUUAAUGCUUUUAGAGUUCGUUUGGUUGGCGGUUAAUAAUAUUCUUACAAUAUUAUUCAAAAUAUUCAAAUUAUUAUUAUUCUGCUGUAAUUUAAUAAUUGUAAAAAAUAUUACUAAAAUAACAAUAAAAUUAUCAUAAAUUUUGGAGGAUAAAAACAAUAAAUUAUUCUGAAUUAGAAAUUAUUCUUAUUUUUAAAUGAUACGAUUUAAAAUGAGUUUAGUGCGCAAGUAAUAAUUGAUAAUUAACAAAGCCGGUAAUAUUUUUUAAGAAAUUAAAACAUGAAAAUUUAAUAUACUAAUAAUACACUAGUAAUAUUGGUUGAGACAUCUACUCCCGGAUCUUCUACACAUAUGGCAACGAAACUUUUCCAUAUAUAUCCCUAAAAAAAUAUACCUAUACUACUACUAGUAUAUUAUAGUACUAUAUAUAUGAUACUAUAUAUAAUCGCCAUAUUGGCAGUAUUUAUUGACCGGAUACAUCGAUUCUACUUUUUAAAAAAAAAAAAAUAUUUUAAAAAUAAAAUAAACAGAGAAUUUAUUGUCUUUUCAUUUUCUUUUUAUUUUUUUUUUUAAAUACAGAUUCUGCAAUACGGCAUGGCCGAGCAGCUGAUGCGCGAGAUCUCAGCGAUGAAGACGCUCCGCCACCCGAACGUGCUCGAGCUGUAUGACGUCAUGGCGAGCCGCUCGAAGAUCUACCUCGCAAUGGAGCUGGCCGGCGGCGGCGACCUCUUCUCCCGCAUCGCCGCCGGCCGCCGCCUACCCGAGGACGCCGCCCGCCACUUCUUCCGGCAGCUCGUCUCCGCCGUCGCCUUCUGCCACUCCCGCGGCGUCUGCCACCGCGACCUCAAGCCCGAGAACCUCCUCCUCCUCGACGUCGACGGCAGCCCCCUCCCCACCCUCAAGGUGGCAGACUUCGGCCUCAGCGCCCCCCUCGCCGGCUGCCUCCUCCGCACCGCCUGCGGCACGCCGGCCUACACCGCGCCGGAAGUCCUGCGGAAGAGAGGAUACGACGGGCGGAAGGCCGACGCGUGGUCGUGCGGCGUCGUCCUCUACGUGCUUCUCGCGGGCUUUCUGCCAUUUCUAGACGACGACAUCAUCCGCAUGCAUAAGAAGAUGCUGAGAAGCGACUUCCGCUGCCCGCCGUGGCUCUCGGCCGACGCGCGGAGGGUGCUGACGGGCUUGCUCGAUCCCGAUCCCGAUAGCAGGACGACGAUCGCGAAGCUUGCGGAGGCGCCGUGGCUCAAGAAGUGCCCGAUCCCGCGAGGUUUGUCGCAAUCCACGGAGAAGUGGAAGAGGAAGGAGGCGGCGGCGGAGGAGGAGGAGGCGGCGGCGACGAUGAACGCGUUUCAUUUGAUUGCGUUGUCGGAGGGAUUCGACCUGUCGCCGCUUUUCGCGGAGAGCGGCGGGGAGGAGGAGGAAGAGAUGAGGGCGGCCGCGAAGAAGGAGAGGGCGAGGGGAGUGGUUUCGACGCUGGAGAGAGUGGCGAGGGCUAGGGUGACGAUCGCAGCAGCGGCAGCGGCGGCAGCAGCGGCAGCAGCAGCAGUUGAAGUUUUUCCGGUGACGCCGUUCUGCCGUGAUGAGCUCCGGCCUGCUGUUAAGUUCGUAAUGUGGGCGGAGUCAGAAACUCAAGUUUCUGCUGCUUAAUUGGUAUCUUUUGUACGUAGCAUGGCUUAAUUUAUCUGCGAUCUUAACUGUUGGAUACAUAAUAUCUGUGUUGUUACUUUGUAAGAGGAAAUAGACACUCAUAGAGUGCUCUACUAGGUAUAUGAUAUCUUUUGGUCCAUUUGAUGGUUGGAUCAUUUCGAAUUCCUAAGAGGAAUUGGGGAUUUAACCCCUAUCAAAUGAAAGGAAAAGAAAAAAAAGAUCGAUUGUUGUAUGUCUUGACUGGUUUCAGCAAUUUGAAUUAGUAAAUCUUAAGGUGCCAAAUGGAUUUAUUUCUAAUUGUUCUUUCAUACUCGGACAAUUUUGACUAAUUAUGGUUUGAAGGGUCUAAAAGAUCCCAAAGCAUUAUUCUGAAAGGUUUUUAUUUAAUGCUAUUAAAUAAAUGAUAGUAGAAUCACCGAUGAACUAUUCGGAUGCUACCAAUCGUCUCUAGCGCAAAUGACAAAAAGGCUUGGUGGUUGGUACCCGAGACUUAGGUUCGAAUUCUAAUUAAAUCACAUUUACAGCUAAGUUUAUUUCUAAAUGAAAUAAACGAAACGGGUAGCAUGCUAUCUUUCUUUUAAAAAAAAAAAAAAAACUAUCCAGAUGCUGCUGCUAUAUUCAUCUUAUAUAUUUGUUGGCCGAAAAAAUCUAAUGUUCUGCCACUGUAGUGAAAAUUUAAUUGGGCCGAACGACAAUUGAGCCCAUAAGCACCGUGCAUCUAGACACUUUAUGUGUGAUGAAUGCGUCUUUUCUUUCAUUUUGAUCUUUUGAAAUUAUUGAUUUGCGUUUUCGAUUCACAAGUGAUAUCAAAACCGAUGAUGUAGGGUUAUUGGUGGAAAUUGAUUUUAUAUUCUACCUAGCGGAGAAGAUCAGGUUGGGCUCAGUUAAUUUAUAUGAUGAAUGUGUGUUUUUUUAGCCCGAGCUUUUAAAAUUAGUAGUUAGUAUUUUCAAUCCAUAAUAAUUUUUAUCAGCCCAAUAAUCUACUAAUCCAUAAAUCUUUUUUUUUUUUUGAGAGAUAAUCCAUAAAUCUAUUAACAUCGAAGAAGCAUCUGCCCGAUGCUUCUCGAUUCAUCAAUCGUAUAUUUAUGCACAAAAAAUCCGUCAUUGCUCUCGUAUAUUUAUUUCAAUAAUCAAACUUUUAAAUAUAAAAAAAUGCCACAAUUUAAUAGGAGGUAGGAUUGGAACAUGAGAUGAAAGUUUAACGAUGGAUGUAUGAAUUGUGCGGGGAAAUAAUGUGCACUGGGUGCAGGCAAUAAUUUAUCUUAGUUGUAAAAAUAAGCCUACAACAAAUUUGGAAGUUUAAGAUCUUCAAUGCCAAACUCAAAAUGUUUAAGUAUCAGAGUGAAACUUGUUGGAAAAAUUCUUUCUAAAUCUUUAGUAAAAAUUAUAUCUUUUUGAAAAUAUUCAGAAACACGAAGUUCUAACAAGUAUUUUAAAAUGCAUGCAUGAAUCGAUCAAUGAGUAAAUAUUAAGAAGAGAAUAGACGAGGCCUGUGAGUUGAGACGUGCUAAAGCACUGUCCUAAAAGCGAGAUUGUCCCUCCACGUGCGAGGCUCCAACAAUCACUCACAGCGAUACAACGACCACUAUCCAUUCCGUCGGCAUGUCUUCAGAAUGGUGCAACACGAACCCAGUAGGGUUUAGGAGAUCCAGCAAAAUAUAGAAAGCUCAGUGUAGAAAUAAAUGAAACUCAGUGUGAAAAGAGAUAAGCUCGGUGCACAAGGGAAUAUUUAAAAGAAUUUUUUUAAAUAAAUAAGAGUAGUUUGGUCUAUUUUAAAGUUUUAGAGGGCAUAUUAUACUAUUAAUUUUACAUAUAAAAUACAACUUUUAGAGACUUAUUUCUUAUAUAUUAAAUAGUAUUUAUAAUUUGUAUACACUUGCAUGCUUUUUAAGUGCUCUAUAUUUUCAUAUGCUUGAUUAGAUUUUGAUAAUAAAAAUGUACGAAGACACUUGAACUACAACCUGUUUUAAAAACAGCCCCCCUAAUUUCCAGUUAUUUGAGUGGCACUAGUUUAACUUUGAAAUUUACAGUUAGUUAAGUUGCAAAUUUCACAAAAUUUAAAGGUUAUAAGAGCCAUUAGAUGUUAAUUAUUUUAACUUUAUUAGCUAAAUAGUGAUUAAAAUUAUUAAUAUUUAUAAAUUUAAUUAUUCAAUUUGAUAAAAUUUCUAGCUUUUUUGACUAAAAUAUUUUAAUUUUAAGUAAUUAGAAAUUAAGAAAGCAAAUAUCUCAAUUAAAAAAUAAGGAAAAACUUGAAUUUUGCCCCUUGUAGGUUAGAAUAUUUUCACUUCGACGCUAUGUGGUUUUAAAAGUUUUACUUUGCAAUUUUGUGAUUAUUUUUCUUUGUAUCAUAAGGUUUUGGUGUUAAGUAUAAUAGUAGAGUACUAAAAUUUGCAAAGUAGAAAAUAAUAAAAGGAUACAUUUUACAAAGGCUAAAUUACAGAAAACUCCCUUGUAAUAACCCGCUUUUUCACUUUCCCUUCCUGACAUUUAAAAACCUACACUUUGUCCCCCUGUAAAAUAAAAAAUGUGCACUUCACUCUCUACCGUUAGGGUUCCGUCAGGAUUCCGUUAAAAAAUAUAUUUUUAUGCCGAAAAUACCCCUCUGCCAUCUCCCUGUUGCUUCGACUCCCUCCGGCUCGCCACCUCGCCGCCGCCUCGCCGCGUAGCCGCCUCGCCGUCCUCCACUGCCUCGCCCUCACCCACAUCCCCUUCGCCGUCCUCCGCCGCCUCGCCUUCACCUGCUUUGCCCUUCUCUUACUGUCGCCCACCUCGGUUUUUUCCUAUUGUCGCCGAAAUCGAGGGCGGCGAGAGUGCAGGAGGAGAAGGGGAGCAGGUGGAGAAGAAAAUAAAGAGAAAUCGCGGCCGAUUGAGGUGGGAAUCGCGGCCAAACGAAGGGGCAGCUGAGAAAGAUGGGGAAGAAGACGACAAUGGCGAGGGGCAAAAUGGUCAUUUUACACACCGUAACCCCCUGUGAACAUUUUUCAUUUUACAGGGGGGCAAAGUGUAGGUUUUUAAAUGUCAGGGGGAAAAGUGAAAAAUCGGAUUAUUACAGGGGGUUUUCUGUAAUUUAGCCUUUUACAAACUACAGACAAACUAUAACAUUUUACUAGAUUAUAUAUAUUUUUUACAUGAUUAUGCUGUGGUUUAUAAAAUAUAUUAAUUUAAUAUUUAAGGGAGGGUCAUUAUAGUGAGAUAAAAAUAAAAUAGUUAUUCCUAUUUACAUAGAUAUUUCUAAAAAUUGUCAAAAUCAAAAGUACCCUUUUAAUUUUAUAAAAUUAUCCAUAUUAUCUUUAUUAAUUAACUCUGUUUAAAAUUAGACUUUAGGAUUGUAGUAUUUUUAAGAUUUUAGGAUUUUAGAGUUAUUAGAAUUAAAACAUUUCUGAUCAUAAAAUAAAAUAUUAAAGUAAAAAAAAAAUACCUCAAAGUACAUGCACAACAAUUGAAUUUUUUUAGAAAAAAUAAAUAUGAUGAGUGCAUUUUGAAACCAAAUGGAGUAAUCCCGACAGGAUUACCAGUAAUCCUGCCAGGAUAAUCAGAACCUAUCGCACCCUCAAUUCCUUGAACAAAAAUCUGGUGCGACACUGCCUCACAUGAGACUAUUUUAUCUGUCGUCCAUCACAAAACCGCGCAUCUUUAGGUCGCGUGAAUGGUGUAUCAGAAGCCUAACAUUGAGGAAGCUCUCACCAUUUUUUUGGAUUAAUUGUCCCAAUUUUUGCAUCUCUUUUUACUUUGGUUUUCAUUUUAAAAUUAAAAAAAUACGCUGUCAUGGCGCUAUGCCAGCGCCAGUUAAUUAUAUAAAUUUAAUUUUAAUUUUAUAUUAUAAACUUAAAUUUAAAAUUUAAAUUAUAUUUUGAAUUAAAUUAUAAAUUCAAAUCUAAAUUUUUUAUUUAUGAUUUAAAUUUUAAAUAUAAAUUUUGAUAUUGGAUUCAAAUUAAAUUCAAAUUCAAAUUCUGAUCUUGUAUUUAAUUUUAAAUUUAAAUUCACAUUUUGAAUUAUAAUUCUAGUUUAGUUUCAAACUUUGAUUUGGAAUUUCAAAUUCAAAAUGUGAAUUUGAAUUCAAAAUUUAAAUUCAAAUUUAGAAUUGAUAUCAAAUAUCAAAUUCAAAUUUAAAAUUUAAAAUCAAAAUUUUGAAUUUGAUUUUACAUUUAAAAUUUUGAUUUUCAAUGCAUAUUCAAAUGUCAAAAUUAAAAUCAAAAUUUUAAGUUUGAAUUCAAAAUUUAAAUUCAAUUUAAAAUUAAAAUUUAAAAUUUAAAUACUAAUUCAAAAUUUUAAUGCAGCUUUAAGUCAAAAUUGUAACUUUAAAUUCAAAUUCAAAAUUCUAAUUUCUAGUUAGUUUUUAAUUUUAAUUUUAAUAUUAAUUUUGAAAUUAAAUUAAAAUUUUGAAUUUAUAAUUUUAAAGACUAAACUGAAAAAUAUGUAAAAUUUGGAGAUCAAAAUUGAUAUGCAAAAAAAAAGCUAUGUCUAUUAAUUUUAAUUUAUUUUUAACGAUUGAAAUAUAAUUAUAAUAAAAUUAAGAGAUUGAGUAUUUGAUUGUAAAAGUUAAAAACUCAAGUAAAAAACUGUUGAAACGUUGAGGACCAAUAAUGUAAUUAACUCUCUUUCUUUUUUUUUUAAAAAAACUUCAAAUAUCACUCAUGUGGCAUCACACUUUCUAAUUUUUGUACUCUAUGAUUUAAAGUGUAUUAAUUUAGUGUUGUGGUUUCAUUUUUAGUUUUUUAUUAUCAAUUUUAAUAAUUUUUUUCGUUAAAUUAGUAAUAAAGUUAAAACUAAAAAAUAAUAAAGUAAAUAUUCGAUAAACAUAGAUAGGAUAUCUGAAGUUUUUUAUGUAUAAUUUAAUAAAAUAUUUAUAAAAAAUUAAUAAAAAAGAUAAAAAUAAAACUAUAUAAUAUUAACUUGAUAUAUUUUAAACCAGAGGUACUAAAGUGAAAAAGUGGGAAACUAAGGGAGUGGUAUCUGAAGUUUAUUUUAUUUUAUUUUUUCUUUUCACUUUUUCCCCUUCUUAUAAUCUCUCUCUCAUUUCAUGCGGAGAGAGAGAGAGAGAGAGAGAGAAGAGAAGAGAAGGGAAAAGACUCGUAAAACCUUAGCNGAAACUAAGGGAGUGGUAUCUGAAGUUUAUUUUAUUUUAUUUUUUCUUUUCACUUUUUCCCCUUCUUAUAAUCUCUCUCUCAUUUCAUGCGGAGAGAGAGAGAGAGAGAGAGAGAAGAGAAGAGAAGGGAAAAGACUCGUAAAACCUUAGCGGCGAAGAUCGACAGAGGACGGGGAGGGGUCGGCAAUGGCGGAUCACGAGGCGCGGGGCGACGACUUCGAGAAGAAGGCGGAGAAGAAGCUCACGGGGUGGGGCCUCUUCGGAUCCAAGUACGAGGACGCCGCCGAUCUCUUCGACAAGGCCGGGAACUCCUUCAAGCUCGCCAAAAAUUGUAAUCGAGAUCUCCUUACCCCCUUUUAUUUUUUUUUCCUCUCCAAUUUGUGUUGAUUUCGAUCUGUUUGCGCUUCGUUGGUCGGUGAACUCGGUGUUUCGAUCGCAUGCUUUUGAUCUUUGGCGUGGUCGGAUCGGAUUCGAUUGCAUUGUUUUGCGCGGAUCUGAUAGGGUUUGAUCGUGUUGGUGCGGAUAAUUUGAUCGCUUUGAGAGGAUCGGAGCUCGUAAAGAGGGAAAUAGAGAUAUAAUUAGAAAAGGGGGCUUAUGUGAUUCAUCUGUUAUUAAAGAGGAUAUACAGCAUAAUUUGAAUUUGUUCGAAAUAAGGGAACUAAUCUUAAACAAGCUCUUUAGGAAUUUGCAGAAACACCUCUUUCUAGAUUGGAAAAUGUUCGAAAUCAAACCCUAAUUGGGAAAUUAUGGGGAGCGUGUCAGGGUCUUGCUUAAAAAUUUGAUUGGAAUGAUUGGACAGUGGAGAUUGAUUUAUGUGCGGAGCUAAAAAUUCUUGUUGCAUGCGGAAAUUACGAUGAACGAUAGGGAUUCUAGCAUGUUAAAGUUAUAGUGAGAGAUCAUUUCACCGCUUUCUCGAAGAUUGAUAUGUUAUUGUAUCUGUAAAUGUGAUUAAUUAUCAUUGCAUGCUUCUGGACUUCGAGAUCUCUGGCUCGUCCUAGCAUUUUAUAUCCAAUGCUAUUAGUAUGUUGCGAUCACCCACAUGUAUUUUUAUCAAAUGGUAUUUUUCUUCCAUUGUCUGAGACUUAUGUAUAUCGUAUCAUUUUUUCAUAGCUGUGUCUUGACAUUCACUGGGCAUUACCUAACUAUUCUUCAACAGCCAAUUUGCUUAUGAUGCAGUAGACGAUGGAUUUCUUGUCGAUUAAUUGAAGUCAUUCGACAAUCUUUGCAACGAAAGGAUUGUUUGAACAUGUUCUUUUAGGCUUACCUAUCUGUCAUUGGUGUUGCAGGGGAGAGGGCCGGAGCAGUAUAUAUCAAACUUGCUAACUGUCAUUUGAAGGUACAUUCCAUUACACCUUGAGAUAUCUGAAUUUAUUGUUAUAAGCAUGAUUAGAACCCAAAUCUUGUUUCUCAACUGGCAGUUAGAGAGCAAACAUGAAGCUGCCUCAGCUUAUGUGGAUGCUGCAAAUUGUUAUAAGAAAAUCUCACCUAAAGGUACUUAUGUUUAAGAAUUUCUUUUAUCUGCUGUAGGACUUUUAGAUAACAUUUUUUUCAGCAGUGCCAAAUUACCUUUUCUUUCGCCUCGAGUUUUUGUGUGUUAGGAUUUGCAUUUUUUUUUAUUCUUUUCAUGUUUCAGCAUUUUAAUUGUCUGUUUUGCCAUGCAAUAUCCUUAUCUGCAGAUGCUGCACAAGCCUUGAACCAGGCUGUUAACCUUUUCUUAGAGAUUGGCAGAUUGAACAUGGCAGCAAGAUACUGCAAGGUAUUCUCUCCUUAAGAGAAAAAAAACAGUUUGUACUAUACUCGUAUUAUAUACCAAUUAAUAUAUAUAUCAGAUUUACAACUAGUUUUGUUUGGUAAGCAAGCCAUAUUUUCACCAUUUGUUAUUCUCUCCCACCCCCACCCCAACCCCCAACCACCGCCCCUCCCCUCCGAAUGGUAGGUGUAUAGAUGAACGUGCCUCUUUUGAAAUGGCUGCUAUAUGUUUGUAGAAGGGAUGGUUGUUAUAUAUAUAUAUAUAAUUCAUUUUCCUCUUCUUUAUCUUCGUUUUUUUCUCUUUUUCCCUUGUCUCAUUUUCCUCUUUUUUAUCUUCGUUUUUCUCUUUUUCCGUUGUCUCUUCAUCCUAACUGCACAUCUUUUAAUCCAAGGGCAAAAAACUUAAUAGCACCAAGUCAUUGGUGCUAUUAAUAGUAUUCCAGCCUAGUUCUCUCUCUCUCUCUCUCUCUCUCUCUCUCUCUAUAUAUAUAUAUAUAUAUAUAUAUAUAUAUAUAUGUGGCCUACAAAAACCUGUACUUGCAGACUGCUUUUUGAGAAAAUGUUGUCUGGGUAACAUCUUAUAUUUCAUUUUGCAGGAGCUUGGUGAGUUAUACCAGCAGGAACAGGAUUUAGAAAAGGCUAUAGAUUUCUAUGAACGGGCUGCCGAUCUUUUCCAGAGUGAAGAAGUGACGACUUCUGCAAACCAGUGCAAGCAGAAGGUUGCAGAAUUUUCUGCACAGCUGGAACAGUAAGAAUGACGUCAUUUACUAAAUAUUGUAUAUGCAUGCAGCAAUUUUAAAAAUUUGAUUGUUGUAUCGAAAAAUCAAUUCUCUUCUUUUUAGAGCAGUAAGUUCCAUGAAUUGGAAUCUGCAUACACACUCAUGGAUCCCUGUUAUGUUGUUUUAUGGCUCUAGGUCUAUUAUUCACAUCAUGCUUAUUUAUUUGCAAAUAAAACUUGCAGUAAACCCAUUUCUCAUUCCUUGUUAUAUUCAGUCAGUUAUUUAUAUCCAAUGGCUUUUGCUCUUGUUGGUCUGAGCUCAAGUGAGAGAAAGCAGGAGUUUAACUCAGCUUCUAGAAUUAUUCAACACUGUGAUGCACUUUGAUUUGUUGUAGUGCACUGUGGGUGUGGGACAUAUAUAUGCUGCAAUUUACAAUUCAUGUUGUUGUUGAUUGUUGUUACUUGUUACUAUUCUUGUAUUUUCUUCUGGUUGAUUAUUGUAUACUCUUUGGUCUGGUUCUCUUUCUUUUCCGAAAUUACACCUGAGUAUUUGGAAUUGUGGUUCCUUCUUGUUAUUAGCUGACUAAAAAGUUUGAAAUUUUCUUUCCAAUGCUAAUGGUUUCUCUUAUUAAGCCCUUAAAUCAGUUCUAUGUUUCUUUUAGGUGUAUGGAUGAAUUGGUACUUUCGUAUGCAUCCAUGUGGUUCUUUUUCUUGAUGGUCUCAGAAAUUACAAGUAGAAUUAACUUUAACUCUUCCUCUUCCAAUCUUUGACCUGUGAAGUUGUCUUAAUUGCUACAAGGAAACAAUUAAAUCUUAAGCCCAACUAUGACUUUUGUUAUAAGUAGUAAUUUUUCAGUCUCUUGGAUUCACAUAUAAUUCAUCAUGGAACAUCUUGCAUUGUCAUAUUCAGUGCAUUUUUGAGACUUAUAUGCUGAAGUAUACUAGGAUUGCUAACAUGGUUGGGAAAUUUUUCAGAUACCCAAAGGCAAUUGAGAUAUUUGAAGCAAUAGCACGGCAAUCAAUCAACAACAGUCUUCUGAAGUACAGUGUCAAAGGAAUUCUCCUUAAUGCUGGUAUCUGCCAACUUUGCAAAGGUGAUGUUGUUGCAAUUACAAAUGCACUGGAGCGAUAUCAGGUUCGAUUUAUCAAAAUUCUUUCAAAAAUCAAAAUAUUUGAAUUUUCUGCCCUUUAUAGAACACAGCAAUCUGAAUUUGCAUAUUAUUCAUUUUACAGGAACUUGAUCCUACCUUUUCUGGCACUAGAGAAUACAAACUGCUAGCUGUAAGAUCCAACCUACUAUUUAAUCUUGCAAUUUUUUGCGCAUCUUGUGCUAUUGUCUUUUCGAUAACAAGCUAUUGUUUUUGUGGUACGAGUAGUGUGAAGAUUCUUGAGCCAUAUAAAAUUUCUGUGGUUUUCUUUGAAGUUCUUUACAAUCUUGUGCAUAGGAUUUCACAACAGUUCGGUGCCCCACAGUAAUUGAUUCUUAUGUGAACUAACUCUUGCUAAUUGAGUUUUGUAAUUAUAUAACAGGAUUUGGCAGCUUCUAUGGAUGAAGGAGAUGUUGUCAAAUUCACUGAUUUCAUCAAGGAGUAUGAUAGCAUGACUCGACUGGUAUGUUAUGACUUGGCAAAAGCAUGCUCUAAACUGUCUUGUUUAUUUAUGCUGGUGUAAUGCAUGUUCAACAAUCUUUUAAGAUGUUAAUAUUGUUCCCUUCUAUUACUUGAUCGUGUUUGCUCAGAUUUGAUCGAAACUUGUUAAUUCUGUUAGUAUUUGGGUUUGGAGUCGGGUUUCAUGUUGACUUUAGUUCAAAAUCUGACCCAGACAGGAUCAGAGCCUGAUUUGAACCCAAAUUUUAAUGCGGUUCACAGAAAACCGGAAUAACAAUCUCGGGACAUCUAGUUGGUCCAAAACUAAAUCCAGGCAGUGGUGUGAAAAUUUGCUGCACCGCAGUGCCCCUUUUUGAGUUUACCCUUGGCUUUGUGAGAAGCAAUUUGGGUGAUGCCUUGUUCCCAAUUUGAAGCACUUCUCCGACAGAUUUGUAAUCGUAUUGCCUUCUAAUACGCUGUUUGAACGGAUGCAGGAUCCUUGGAAAACCACUCUUUUACUAAGAAGCAAGAAUGCUCUAAAAGCUAAGGAAGAAGAGGAAGAUGAUCUGACUUAAAUUGUUUGAAGGCCUUAAACUUCAGCGGACUUUGUUGUAUUAUCACUAAUUCUGUGGAGUUCCUAUGUAUUUAGCGUGUUUGGAUAUAACAGCUGAGGUGGUCUAUACUUUUUUAUGUUCAAAUAUGUGUGCAAAACUCCUGUAGAUGUUUGCUUUUUCCCCCCUGCUCUGCCCCUGAGGUACUUCUAUGUUGCCUAUACUUUGUUGCAAUAAGAUCAGUGAUUGGUUUAUUCGAGGGUUGUACUGUUGAUCGGCAUCGGUAUUUGCAUUGCUAUCAUUUCCAUUUUGUGUCGUAGUUCCAUUGGAAAUGUUUGGUAAGUUCAUUCUUCCUUGCAUUGCUGCCAUGUUCAGGCUGGUGGCCGCUCGUGCCAAUAGACUUGCAAAUUGGUCCGUACGGCUGUGGUUUGAAACCCAGCUUGCUGUUGCAUUACGCGUCGAGUUUUAUGUUUGCGGUUAGUUCCCAUCUCUAUGUUAACAAAUAUGGGAGAAGUUUGAUCUUUUGUUUCAAUCUUUUAUCGUCUUAGUGUAAAUUUUGUUCAUGCCGACAUUGAAAGCUGUUUCAAAUUCUCUGCUUCAUCUGAAAGGUGGCCACCACGGUGCUGAUUUGCUGCUGCUGCCAAACCACUGCUCAUCUCCAGUCUUUUCUGUUCAUGCCUUUCCGGCGCGAAGGCUAGUUUCUGAAACUCGCAGUUUCUCCCUCAUUAAACUGUUUCUUUGCCAGAUUUCCAUUUUGCCAGCACGUUCUAAACAUGAGUGCUAGCAAAUUAAACAAGCUCGAAAGUUCGACCAUGAGUUUGGGUGAAACAAACUUACCCUAAGUUCAGUUCUCCUGCCCUUCAGGGCCAAACAUACCUUUGCUAUUUCUUUAGUAGAUGAAUUGGAGAUUUGGAUAAAAUUAACAUUCCUCCAUGCCCCUAAAAACGGAGCAUAGGAAAAUUAUUGUGAAGUAUUUGAGAGAAAAAGAAAAAAAUUGUAAUUUUUAGAGUAUAGUUAUAUUAUACUUCAAAAAAUGGAGUAAAGCUACAUUCCACAUUUCCACUCUAAACGGAUUUUUUUUUUUUUUUACUAUUCUUGGGCUCCCUUAUCCAAAAAUGUAUCAAAGUUUUAAAUUUUAAAUUUUAACAUAAAAUUUUAAGGGAAAACUUCAAAAACCCUCCCCGUGGUUUCGUACUUUUUCAUUUUAGUACCCUAUGGUUUAAAGUAUAUCAAGUUAGUACCCUGUGGUUUCGCACUUUCUCACUUUUGCCCUGUGGUUUAAACUGUACCAAGUUAGUACUUUGUGGUUUUAUUUUUGUAUCCAGUUAGUACCCUAUGGUUUUAUUUUUGUAUUAAGUUAGUACCAUGUGGUUUUUAAACUACAUGGUACUAAAGUGAGAAAGUACAAAACCACAAGGUACUAAAGUGAGAAAGUGCGAAACCACGUAGUACUAACUUGAUACACUUUAAACCACAGGGCACUAAAGUGAACAAUUGCAAAAUUACAGGGUAGUAACUUGAUACACUUUAAACCACAGGUUACUAAAGUGAGAAAAAGUGAAACCACAGGGGGGUAUUUGAAGUUUUCCCAAAUUUUAACUUUCAAUCUAGAUUUUCAAUUUAAAAUUUUAAAAUUUUAAAAUUCAAUUUAAAUUUAAUUUAAAUUUAAAUUUAAAUUUAAAAUUUUAAAUUUUCUCAGUUUAUAAUUUCAAAUCUUAAUUUUCAAAUAUCAAAUAUUAAUUUUCAAUUUUCAAAUUAUAAAUUUCAAAAUUUGUUUUAAAUUUUAAUUUGAAAAUUUUAAAUUUCAAAUUUCAAGUUUCAAAUUUCAAAUUUAAAUUUUAAAUUUCAAAUUUUUAAAUAUGUAAAUUUGAAUUUUUUUUAAAUUUGUAAUUUGUAAUUUUUAAAUUUAAAUUUUCAAAAUUUAAAUAUAUAUUUUUGAUUUAAAUUUCAAAAUUUAAAGUUUAAAUUGUACAUUUUAAAUUUUAAAAUUUUUAAAAUUUUAAUAAAACUUAAAAUUUCAAUUUAAGUGUAAAAUUUUAAGUUUAAGAUUUAGGUUUCAGAUUUCAUAUUUCUAAUUUCAAAUUACAAAUUUCAAGUUUCAAACUUCAAAUUUUAAUUUUGAAAAUUCAAAAUCCAAAAAUUUAAAAUUUAAAUUUAUAAUUUCAUAUUUCAAUUUUAAAUUUUAAAUUUUAAAUUUCAAAUUUCAAACUUUAAAAUUUGAAAUUUAAAUUUAAAAUUAAAACCUCUAAUUUUAAACUUUUAAUUUUAAAUUUUAAAUUUUAAAAUUUAAAAUUUAAAAUUUAAUUUCAAAUUUUAAAUUUUAAAUUUCAAAUUUUAAAUUUUAAAUUUCAAAUUUUAAAUUUUAAAUUUCAAAUUUUAAAUUUAAUACGUGAAUUUAAAUUUAAAUUUUAAAUUUUAAAUUUUAAAUUUUAAAUUUAGUAUUUUGAAUUUUAAAAUUUAAAAUUUUAAAACUUUAAUUAUUAUAAAUUCUGUGGAGUUGUACGAUAUUUAUGGAAAUUUUUUUUAUAGUUUUAGAAUUUCAUAUUUUAUUUAAAUCAAAAUUACAGAAUAAAAAUUGUAUGAAGUUUUUUAGCUAUGAAUACAAAUAAGGCCUAAACUGUAAAAAGCGUUAAGGAAUUGAGACACUUUUUUUUAGUACUUCAGCUUUUAAAAGGUCUCACAUAUUCUCAAUUAACUGAACCGGAUGAACAAUCGGUUCACGAUCCAACCGGUCGAACCGGACCGGUUCAACCGAGUUACAAAACAGACCCGUCAUUUCGCGACCAGAUGUUCGUCUCUUCUCACCCCUUCGUAUCAUCCGUCGCUUAAUUAGCGCAUACGGGGGCCGCGGCUAAACCCUAGAAAAAGUACAAAGGGAUCUCCCCCAAUCUCCCUCCAUCUCAAGCCCUAGCGAAGGUUUCGCUUCUCUCUCCGAUCCCCAAUGGAGGAGGAGGAGCUCGAGAAAGCGGUGCACGCGUACUUGAGGAAGAAGGGCUUCAAACUCAGCGACCUCGCGCUUCAGGAUCAGAAUCGCCUCUCCGCCUCUUCCCACAACGAUCUCGUACUCACUAGGUUUGGAUUCGCUCGACGCCCUUCGGUUUUCUUUGUUAGAAUCCCCGAUAAAGUAACUCAAGUUGAUCGGGGACUAGUAGGAGAUGCACAUUAGAAAAAAGAAAGAUUUUUGUUUGAUUAUGUUUGGUUUCAGUAAUGUCUUCAGCUUGGUCUAGUUGACUAUGCUAAAUUAAGAGGGUUUGAGGUAAUAUUAUUUGUUAAUUUGGGCGAAUCCCUUCCUUUUUUUUACUUAGAAUCCGAAUCUAGUAACUGAAGUUGAUUAAGUAUUCAGCAUGAGAUACGAACUAACGAAAAAGGUAGAUCUUUGUUUGGUUUGUCUUGCUUACUGUAGUUUCGUCAACUUGUUUUAGUU
RNAcentral lists this long non-coding RNA (54446 nucleotides) under Ananas comosus (pineapple). RNAcentral describes it as "long non-coding RNA (ACOM_LNC028473)". Lineage: Eukaryota; Viridiplantae; Streptophyta; Magnoliopsida; Poales; Bromeliaceae. The record is from RNAcentral.